GAUUUCCUAAUUUAUUCCUUUCUCUAUCUGUUGUUGAAGCAAACUCACUGUUCCUCCACCUUCCAUUUCCGAUCAUUCUGUCUCAGAAAUUUCCAGCCGGUGUGUCUCUUUUGUCGAUCACUUCUUGAUGCUAUCCGGUAAGUCUGCUUCCUUUCUCUCUCGUUGUUUACUCCUUUCUUCCUCUCUUGAUUUUUGAAGGUUGUGUAUAGGUCGGGAUUCAUCCCCAAAUGUAAACAUGAGAGUUCUCUGAGCUUGGAUUGUCCCUUAAUCAGUCCUGUUGUGCGUUCCUCUUCUUGCAAGCUAAUCUCCUUUUCCUUUGUGCUUUUUCUCAGAUGUAGAUGUGGUGUCUCGGUCCCUCCGAUUCUAAAGCUCCAACGGUAACAACCAAACCAUUUACUUGUUCGUCUGUAUGAUGUAACUUUUUGAUAUCUAUGGCAAUACUCUUUAGCUCGUUGUACUGCGUUUAUGUUUUCUUCUUUACCUCUCCUGGUAGCAAUGUGGCAGAUUCUUGUAUUUUGAUGUAGGUAUGCUCUGUAACGAUCUGCAGUAGUCAUGUGCAUUAUUUACUAUCUACAAAUGCUUUUGUUAUUCUCAGUGCUGAAUAUUGAUUUUCCUGGUUCUGAUCCUCAAAGUUGGUAUUUGUGCUUUGUCUAUAUUGAUCUGUCUCCUGAUGUUGGUAGGUAGCUCCUCAAAAUUGUUGUACUCUUUUCUUUGUUGUGAUUCAACUACCAGAUUAGCUAAUAGGUCUGCCACAUUAUUGCCUUCUCUGAAAAUAUGGAUGAUGUUUGCAUUUAAUUGUUGUAAUCUCUUCCUUAUAAUCUCUCCUCUUUCCGCCAAAUCCCAGGGUAUCUUCCAAAGCCCUCUUAUCAUCUGCAUCAGACACAAUGAGUCGGUUUCGAUUAUUACUUCUCGCAGCCUGUUCUCCCAACAAUACUCCAAUGCUUCAUGUAUUGCCACUGCCUCUGCCUCUGUGUUAGUAGUAGUACCCACUCCUGCUGCUCUUGCAUAUAUCAAAUUUCCAUGUGAAUUCCUCAGACAAAAGCCAUAAGAACUGAGUCCCGGAUUCCCUUUGGAUGCCCCAUCCGUAUUGCAUUUCAGCCUGUGUGUAUCUGGUGGUUUCCAUAGUACACUAUGAUAGUGUAAUUUAGGAGUGUACCACUUUAGUUUCAUGACAAUAUCAGGCCACAAAUUGGACUCUAGAUGUAUCCAGGGAUAUAAAGUUUUCACAAGGUUUCUGACCAUAUCUUGAACUUGCACCACCAUUCCACUCAAUGUUGUAUUUCCUCCAUGUUUUAUAUUAUUUCUUCUCUUCCAUAUUGUCCACGUGAUUAUUGCUGGCAUUGCUCUCAUUACUCUUUGUAGUUGUGGUGAUGUGUUGAAUUUCCACCACUCAAUGAUUAAUUGUUGUAAAUGCAUCCCCUCCAUGCGUACACCUGCAAAAUUAGCAAAUUGCCUCCAUAACUUGUUAGCCAAGGAAGCUGUUAGAAAAUUAUGGGACAUUGUUUCCUCCUUUUUUUCAUCACAACACCAACAUCUUGAAACUACUUGAAUCUUCAUCUUUUUUAAAUUAUCAUCAGUAGGAAUUCUCCUUUUCCAAACCCUCCAUAAGAAGAAAUUCACCUUAAAAGGAACCCCCCUGGUCCAAAUAAAAGCAUAGUCAGUUCUCCUCUCCUGUUUCUUCCUCAUUGUUUGCCAAGCUGAUUUAACAGUGAAAUUCCCCUGCUUACUGCUCAUCCACCAAGGGACAUCAGUCUGAUACUCAUUACUAGGUGGUUUUAUACUCUCCAGAAUGUACUCCACCAAUUCUGCUGAAAGUUUUGUUGCUAGUUUAUGUGCAUCCCAUUCACCAAAAAUUGUAAACUCCUGUACUUCAACUUCUUCCUCACUAUCCAUAUCACUCUCAAUAUAGAAAAGAGCUCCCAAUUUUGUCCAGUUAUCAAACCAAAAACUGGAAGUUCCAGCCUUUAUUUGCCACCAUAUAUUGUGCUCAACCUCCUCUCUUAUCAUUACCAUUUUUCUCCACACAUGUGAGGCACCCCUACCUGUAGUUAUAAUUGGGUGCAAUUUCUUGCAAUAUUUGUUCCACAUAUAACCACUCCACAAAGAAGAACUUGAAGUUCUGAAUUUCCACCAAAGCUUUGCAAACAAAGCCUUUGAUACAUCAUGUAAAGACCUGAAACCCAACCCCCCUUCUUCCUUGGGAUAGCACAUGCUUUCCCAUGACACCCAGUGCUUGUUCUUUGAACCAGUUGCAUUUCCCCAGAAAAACUUUGCAAACAACUUAUGUAAUUGGUAUAGAACACUGACUGGUGGAUUCAUGGUUGAUAAUAAGUACAUGGGCAUUGAUUGUAAAACAUGUGAUAUCAAAAUGUACCUUCCCCCAUAAGAUAAGAGUCUAUUCUGCCACAUGGCCAUUCUCUUAACCACCUUUUUAAUAAGGAGUUCAAAAUGCCUUUUAUUUUGCCUGCCAUAGAAAAUAGGACAGCCCAGAUAGGUAAAAGGAAAAUUACCUUGCCUGACUCCUGUUAUCCUCUUUAUUUGAUUACACACUGUUAUGGGGACCUUUUCAUGUAGGUAACAAAUGCUCUUGUCUAUGUUGAUCAUUUGUCCAGACACCCUCUCAUAUCUUCUUAACACAGACAUCAUCAUCCUCAUUGAUUUAGGGUGUCCUGAACAAAAAAGGAUAGUGUCAUCAGCAUAAGAUAGGUGGUUUAUUUGCGGACUCCAUUUAGGCAAACCAAAACCCUUAAAUUCAGCAUUUUCACAUAAACCAUUUAGGGCCCUGCUCAGAACUUCAGCUGCUAUUAUAAACAAAGUUGGGGAUAAGGGGUCACCCUGUUUCAAACCUCCUGAAGACGGGAAGAAACCAAAUGGUUUCCCAUUUAUCAACAUUGAAUACCAAUUAUUACAUAUAAGCCGCACUAUCAUGUCAAUGAUUCUCUCAGAAAAGCCAAAUCUUCUCAAGACUUGAAUUAAGAAUUUCCAUGAGACUCUAUCAUAUGCCUUUGUCAUGUCCAAUUUUACCACUACAUUAUGCAAUUUGUUCCUCUUGUUGAUGUCCCUUAUUAUUUCCUGAGCCAAAAGCACAUUUUCAGUUAUACUUCUUCCUUUAACAAAACCUGAUUGGUUAUUUGAAAUCAAUCUCGGCAGCACCACUGAAACUCUGUCAUGUAUUAGCCUUGAUAUAAUCUUGUUAGCAAACAUACUCAAACUAAUAGGUCUUAAGUCCCCAAAAUUAUCCACCACUUCCUUCUUUGGUAUCAUCACUAGAUUUGUGUGUGUUAUGAAUCUUGGCAACUCAUAUCCACUGAAAAAAGCCCUUACUAUGUUCCAUACAUCAUCACCAAUGAUUUCCCAGCAACUUUGAAAAAAUUGCCCUGAGAAGCCAUCCUGUCCACUGGCACUAUCCCCAUUUAGUUUAAAAACCACAUUCUUCACCUCAUCUUUAUUAGGAGCCCUCUCCAUUUCAUAAUUCUGGUUGUCAGUUAUGAUCUUGGGAAUACAUUGAAGCAUUGAAAAAUCAGUUGUUUUUUGUGUUUCUGUGAAUUGCUCCCCGAAGACAUUAACUGCUUCUUCCCCUAUGUUUUGUGAUGAAGUAAUGAUGUCCCCCUGUCUUGUUCUGAUUUCUUUAAUAUUCAGUUUCUUCCUUCUUCCAUUAACAUAGGCAUGGAAGAACUUUGUAUUUUUGUCCCCAUCUUUAAACCACCUCAUCCCAGCUUUCUGCUUCCAGAAUUCUUCCUCAAUUUUCAUAAACCUCUUCAGAUCAGCAUUGGAUUUACUGAGUUCUGCCCUGUUUGCCUCUGUAGGUGCUAUCUCCAUUUGUAUCUCUUUCUCUUUUAUCACAUCUUCCAAAGUUGCAAUCUUUUGAAAAAUAUUUCCAAAUGUAUUCUUACUCCACUGCGCCAGUACUGCCUUCAGUCUUUUCAUCUUUGUAUGAACAAUAGUGAAAGGAGAGCCAGUUACCUGCAUCCUCCAACUCUCCUCUACCACCUUUUGAAAGUCUGCAUGUUUGGUCCAAAAAUUUAGGAACUUGAAAGGCCUAAUGAUUUUCUCCUGACUUGAGUUAGACACGACAUGUAAGGGAGCAUGGUCUGAUCCUUGCCUUAUUAGAUGAUGUACCUCACUUUCUGGUAAAAGACUCAUAAAACUAUUAUUUCCAAAAACUCUAUCCAAUCUUUUAAAUAUGCAUGCUUCCUCAAUUCUCCCAUUCCACCAAGUAAAAAUACUGCCCGUAAACCUCAACUCAUUCAAAGUACAUGAAUUAAUGCAUUGAAUAAAAUCAUGUGUUUCUAAAUUUGAUACUGGUAAUCCACCCAGCUUCUCUGAAUCAUCCACAAUAGUAUUGAAAUCUCCCGCCACUAACCAAGGGAAACUUUGGCUUGUCAUACACUCCAGGUCCUCCCAAAGCUCCAAUCUUUCAAGGGCACUACAUCUAGCAUAGACUGCCGUUACAACAAAUCUAUCCUGUGUUCCACUUAUUUUGAAAUUCAUGGUAAGUUGUUGUGUAGUAUCUGAUGAACCUUCCUCUUCCCAGCUGUCAUCCCAGAAAAUCCAAAUUUUUGCUGAGCAGUUAGCCUUGGCAUUUUGUAGACCCAACUUUCUUCUGUACUGCUCUAAUUCUGAAGGGCUUUGAAAAGGUUCUAAUAAAGCGAUGUAUGAGUAAUGAUGUCUCUUGUGCAGUUCAAGUACUCUCUCAAAAGCAUUCUGAGAUUUCACUGAUCUGAUAUUCCAAAAUAACAUCUUGUCUAUCAUUGAUCAGAAAUGGAUGACGAACCCUUUAUACUCCUUGUAUUUAUUUGUGAUGUCUCGUUAAUUCUUGUAUCCCUUUUAUUUUUUAUUUUUAUUCUCUCAAUCUGUGUUGGUGAUAAAUCCCCGCUUCUACUGAUGUUAUCUAUGUUCGCCUCUAGACUCUCCUCCUCCUCAGUAUCCUGUUUUUGCUGCUUCUCGUCUUGCGAGAGAUUAUGUAUUUUAAUAGACAGAUCCCUCCCUAUCCUGUGUUCAGACCCUUCAUUCUCUAUAUUCCCCCCUUCUUCACCUUGACUGAUUUCCUGCUGCUGCGUUUUAGGUGUAUUAUUAGUGCUCCCCCUCUCCUCAUUUAUGUCACCUUCUUUAGUUAUUUGUACUGUCUCCUUUAUCCCUUCUGAUGCUUGCCUGUGAUCUUUGCAUUGAACUGAUACUCUUUCUUCUGUUUUCUCAAUUUGCACUUGCUUCUCUUUCUGAUUUGGUGUUGUCUCCUUACCCCGACUGCUAUUCUCACCCACACCUUCUUUGUAUAUCUUCUCCUCUCCCAUGUUAUCCCCAAAGAACCCCCCACCAGAUUGCAGAUGAGUUUCUGCCUCUUCCCCUGUUAACACUUCCCUUUCUUGCGUCUUUUGUGCCUUUAUUUCUAUCACCCCCCUUAGCUCCUCUACCUCAUUUUCAAUGUCCUCCCUCAGUGCCUCAUAUUUAUUAUUUGUUAUGAUAUUUUGUUCCUUGGCAGGAUAGUUUUUAGGAUUCCACACUUGUUCCCUUUUGUCUCCUCUAUUGAAUACUCUACCCCUGCCAUAACAAUUCUUUUUCCUUUGUUCAUUAAAUUCACCUCCCCCGCAUUUGUUUGAUUCUUCCUUACUUAUUUUUAUCUCCCCUGCUGUACCAUGUGUGUUCUCUGUCCCCUUUACCCCUCCAAAUAAUUCCUUACCUUUUUCUGUACCAUGAGCUAUUACCACCACUUCCUCAUCCUCCUUAGGAUACAAUUCUGGGUGAAUGACAAAACAUUCUCUUUCAAUAUGACCCUGCAACUUGCAUGUUUUGCAGUAUUUCGGUACAUAGUCAUAUUUGAUUGGAACCCACUUCUCUACAACUUCACCAGUUUUCUUCCUCAUCCCCACAUUGAUUCUUGUUGGAAAUUCUCCCAUAAGAUCUACUUCCACCUUCACUCUAGCACAACUUGGUCUAGUUUUAUUAAGAGUCGCCAUAUCCACCUGUAAAGGCUUUCCAACAGCUGCAGCUAAUGAGAAAAUCGCUUCCUUUCCAAAAAAAUUGGGAGGUAGUGAUGGGAAAGAUAUCCAAGCAAUCGCAAUAGAUGUUUCCUCCUCCGGAUCAAACAUGGGGUCCCACUUAAGGGUUCUCAUUGGGUAUGACCAUUGUUUAUGAGUAAUGUAAAAUUGUGGCUUUGAUAGCAGUGUUACAUAAUCCUCCAAUAAGGUGGUUCUGAUUAGGACAUAUCUACUGCUGAGCAAACCAAUGUUAACAUCUCCCUUCAAAUCGCAUUGCUUCGGUAUCAAAAGUCUUAGAUCCUGGAUCUCUGGCCACCCAUACGAGAAUUUACCUAUUACUGCAAAUUGGAGAUCUUCAUUAAUGAUCAUCUGUGCUACCUCUUCUUCCUCCCAUAUGAUCAUUGGUUCUCCAUGAAGAUAUGCAAUUUGUUUCAUCGGGACAGGUUUAUAUUGAGGACUUCUUGGUUUAAUAGUGUUGGCAUAAGUCAUUGUAGAAGGUUUACCAAUAUUGUUGAUGAUAUGCAGAGAUGAUGGUCCAUCCCCCAGAGGCGGAGGUUGGCCAACGGCCGCCGUGGCCAUUGAUUCCGACGAGAGUAAACAAAAUAGGUUUUAUAGAAAUUGCGAAAAAAAAAAAAUCACUGCCUGCAUAAAUGGUAAUCAAAUAACUUUUUACUUCUUCAAUACAGACUUUAGAGUCUAGGCAGCAGAGACGUUACAAUGGUGUACCUCAAUUUUAAACUUGGGUUUCUUGGAAUUUUUUUAUUAAAGGUGACAAAAAAAUGUUAAAACUAAGAAAAAGUGAUACAAGUUUUAUUUAUUGAUUAGAGGUGAUAAUUUUAAGAUUACUGUUAUUAAUAGCACUAAUUUUAAAACUCUCAAGUUUUAUUAUUUACACAAAAGCUUUAUUAGAACAAUGAAUUAAGGGUGAUAGAAAAGUUUUAAAAUUAGAUAUAGGUGACUAAAGUUUUAAUUAUUAUUGAGCAGGGGUGACAAUUUUUAAAUUAAGAAUUAAGGGAUGAAUUUCUGAUCCCCAAGUUUUUUAUUUUACACUUUGGCACAUCUUAUAUAAAACCCUAAUAAUAAGAAAUGGAAGGGAAAAAGGGCACCCACAGCUAGGGGUGUACAAGCCAAAUCAGAAAAUCAAACCGAACCAACGAAUCAAAUCAAAAAAAAAAAUAACGAUUUGUGGUUUGGUUAAGUUGGUUUGGCAGUUGAAAAAAAAAACCGACCACUCUUGAUUUGGUUUGGUAUUAAAAGAAAAAAAGUCAAACCGAGCUCAAACCAACCCGACAUAUAUAUAUAUAUAUAUAAUUUUAUUUUAUUUAUAGAUAAAAAAUUAUAAUUUAUAAUCUACUUUGUUAAUAUAUUUUUAGUUAGUUUAUAGUUUUUCAAUGUGUAUAUAUGUUAUUUCAAAUUUGGGCUUGUAAAAUUUUGUAAAUAUUAUAUAUAUAUAUAUAUACAUACAUACAUAUCUAUAAUUUUAUUUUAUUUAUAAAUAAAAAAUAUUAUUUAUAAUCUACUUUGUUAAUAUAUUUUUAGUUAGUUUAUAGUUGUUAAUGUUUAUAUAUUUUAUUUCAAAUUUGGGCUUGUAAAAUUUGUAAAUAUUUUAUUUUGUAUUAAGAUCCGAAAUUACAAUCAUAUUGUUAUAGUUUUGCAAAUUCGAAGUUAACAAUUUACUUUGUAAUAUUUUAUUUUGUAUUCAGUUUGCCUAUAGCCUUUAGUCUUAUUAAUCUAACAUAAUGAACGUUGAUAUUUCAAAAAAUAAAAGCAAAAGUCAUCGACCGCCCCUUAAAGUUGUUUGUAUAAUUCACUUAGACACCUCAACUAAGACUUGUACCUAUUGAAUACCUAAAUUGUUCAAAACAUGUACCUAUUAAACACAAAACGUUGAUAUGGCAAAAAAAUGUGUUUUGCACUUCCCUGAAGCGCGAAAAGAUUCAAAAUAGUGUCUUUUUGAUUUUUUUUUUACAUUUCUUCUUCUUUUAUUGACACUUGGCAUUAUAAUUAACUUAAAAGCAUUUUUCUUCUUUCAUUUACACUUUUUUCAAAAAAGAAAAGGACCUCACUCCCUACCUAUCAUCUUCUUCAUACUUUAGUUUGCAAAACUUUCUUCAUUUUAGCUCCAACAUUAUUUUUCUUUCUUUUUUAUAAAAAAGGAAUAUUAUUUCUUCCAAAUAUGAAGAUAAAUGAAAAUCAACUAUGAAGAUUCAGAUUUGAAAGAAAGUAAGACUUUCUUUCGCAUGAUUUAUUUCAAAUUUCAUAAAAAUAAGGAACAAAUAUGAAGAAGAAGAAAGAAGAUAAAUGAUAUUUACGUACAAAAAAAGUUAGCCGAUAUUUAUUUAUCACAAUUUUUGAGCAAAGAUUUUUAACUCAAAUUCAUAUAUAAACCCAUUAAAUUUAUCAAAAAUGAUAUUCAAAAAUUUGAAAGAAUUAAUUUUUGAGCUAUCAAUUUCAUUUUGUCAUCGAUGUAGAAAUGAAUAGCUGCCGGCAAAAUUUUCUUUCUUCUUCACUCUUAGUAUGAAAAUGUAUAUAUAUAUAUAUUUUUAAAGUUAAUCUUCAAGUUAUUUGAAAAGAAUUAGGUUUUGUGAUUUGAGAAAGAAUGUGUUUUGGGAAGAAGAUGAAGAUGAAAAGGGGUUGGGUAGGGGUGGGGUUGGGUAGAAUAGGUUGACAUUUUCAUUUUUUUCUUUUUCUUUUUAAAAAAAUUAGAUAUAAAAAGUGUUUGAAAUAAUUUUAAACAAAAUUAUUUUUUUUAUAAUUUUUGGGGCCCAGUGCCACAUGUUAUUUUGUAAUUAGCCAUUUUGCCAUGUCACCACAAGUGUAUCACACACUUUCCAUAUAUUUUGCUGAUUAUCAAAAAAUGCCUAAUAGGAACAAUUUUUGAAUUGGUAAAAGUGUUCAAUAGGUACUAGUCUUAGUUGAGGUGUCUAAGUGAAUUAUGCAGACAACUCAUGUGAAUUUUACCGUCUUUUCGAAAAUUUCUAUUCAUUUAACAUUUGUUAAGUUUAGCUUAUCACUCAGGUAUGUGAAAAUAUAUUUGAUAUCUUUUUCAAAUACCGUAUAGUUGUAAAAACCCAGAAAACCGAAAAAUAAAAAAAAAUAAAAAAAAAUAAAAAAUUGAAAAAAUUCGAAAGAACUGAUUAAAGCCGAAACCAAAAAAAUUGACUUUAUGUGGUUUGAUUUGGUUUUAAGAUUUAAUAAACCAACAUAGUUGGUUUAGUUUUUUUUUAGAGAAAAUGGUGUAAAGCCCCCUCAAUCUAUACCCGAAAUUUCAACUACACACUCCAGCUUCACGAGUGUCAUAUCACCCCCUGAACUGUUUAAAAUAAGAAUUAUUACACCGUUAAAACAUCACAACCACAUCUAUGCUAAUGGGUGAGACUCACGCUCUGUAGAAAUUUUAUUUAAAACUUUUUUUUAAUUCUUUUUCUUUUUUGACUUAUUAUUUAAAAAAACAAUUUAAUGUCAAAACGUCAUGGUGGAUCUCUUCUUUUACAGGAGAUCCUGAAGAGGCAAAAGAUCAACAAGAAGAGUAAGUACCUGCUAUUGCUGAUUAUGCAGAAUAUGGUGGUGACUGGACUAGUAGCCAAAUCCCUGAUACUCAAUGGGUUGCAGAUGGUGCAACAUCUGUUCCUGUAGCUACCGGUGGCUGGUCUGGAGAAGCAAUGGUUGAGGGAGGUUGGGACGCCGCAGCUGCUCCUCCUGCACCAGUUGGUGUACCAGAAGUGACCCCUGCCCCAGCUGCUGUUACUGGCUGGGAAUGAAGACUCCUUUAGAAAGUUCUUUUUGGUUAAAAUUAGAUAUGUGAGUUCUUAUAACAGAUGGUUUUGUUUACGAUGCAAUUUUAUAAAAAAUUUGGACUUGUUGAUGUACGAAACUAUUUCAAAUCAUUUAUAGCAAAAAAAAAAUUAAUAAAAAAAAAAUGUCAAAACAUCAAAGUUUAUGAAUGUAUUUUGGAUCUCCAAUUUGAAACAUGUUGAUAACAUAAAUGGUUGUUAAUUAUUUGAAGCUGAAUACAUUGAGUUUAUGACUGUGAUUUUCAAAUUUAAAAAAACUCCCGAAAUUUCAUGAAAAUCGACGUGCUUGAAACCUCCAUUAAAAUUAGUUUAAAAGCUUGAGCUAAAAAUUUGACUUACCACAAACGAGCACCGUUUUGAGUGGGUAAUAUAUCAAAAGGUUGGAAACGUCGAGGGAAGCUUAUAUCUAAAAUUUAAGGCAAUUUGGAGAUGAUUUAGGGUGGUUUUGCAUCAAAUUUCAGUGUAAUGGAAUGAAGAAGAUGAAGAACAGACGCUAACUUUUCAGAUGUGUAAGAAAAGGACUAGUUAUUAAAAUUAGUCGUAGGUCUGUUGGGUAUUAAAUAUAGGAUAAAAAAUUAUCUUAAUAUUCAAAGUUUAUUGAAGAAAAUCAUUUGGGUGUUCAUGUAUUAAGCUUAUCCAACCUUAAUUUGCUUUGAUUUUAAAAAAAUUUGGUGCAUAAAUCAAAGAUUUUUUAUAUAUAGUUCUUGAUUAUGGAGAGUAAUGGGUGAAAUUGCUAUAAACGAUUUGUGGUGUAUCAAUUAAUGUAGUGAUAAGAAUGAUUUCAAGAUGGUGAAGAACUUUGGUGCAUCCAUAGAUGCUCAAUCAAAUUGCUAUGAAGAGGUGGUUUUCAAAAUUUUCUAAUUUCAUGUGCAAAUUGAAAAAUUAAAAUUCUAGAAUCAAGAGGAAUAAUGAAAUUCCAUGGUGAAUUCAAUGAAUGUGACGGUUGUGGCGGCUUAGAGAAGGUGAAUGGUGAAGAGAUUUGAUUUAUGUUGUUGUGAAGAAGAAAUAAAAUUAAUAAGAAAAAAAAAACUAAAAAUACACAUUUAUGAAAAUUUCAAAAAUAAAGUUUUAUUAUCUGUGUUGGUUCUCACUCUCUCUAAGAGAGUGAGAUACACUCAAUGUGCCACGUAAGCGUCUAGGGAGUAAAUUAUUUUAGUUUUAAAUAGUUCAGGGGGUGAUAAGACACCCGUGAAGUUGGAGUGUGUAGUUGGGAUUUCGGAUAUAGAUUGAGGGGCUUUAGACCAUUUUCUCUUUUUUUAAUGAAAAAUCAAACCAAACCGGCCAAUGUACACCCCUACCCACAGCUCAUCAUCAUCAUUCUUUUUGUUGUUGUUCAUCAUUAUCUUCUUCUUCUUCUUGUUCAUCUCUUUUUCUUCUGUUGCUUGUCGUGACAUUCACAUUGUUGGUAUAGCUGCUAUCGGACCAAAUUUCAUUCCUAUAUCACUGGGUGUUACUUUAUAGGUGAUUUUGAUAAGUAAACAAAUGAUUUUUAGUCUAAUUUUUCAUCUGAGUAUUUUGAGUGUUUCUUCAAUAAUUUACAAACGCGUAUCCAAUAUGUAAGUGUCACGACCCAGACUGUCGUGAUUGGCACCCACACUAACUCUUCGGGAGAACCACUACUACAACCCAACCAAACAACUAAACCAUUUGAGUUACGGAAGCAAGUUAAAUACUAAGGAAAGAAAUAGGGAGUUACCAUAAACUCAAAACAAAAGUCUAUCAACUAAACUAAAUGCGGAAAAAUACACCUAGAACCUGAAAGUCAAUGUACCAACACAUCUAAAGUUCAACAAGUCAAAACAAGAAGGGAUAUAACCCCGAACUAAUGAACUAUUAACUAACUUCUUUUCAGGUUGGCAAACAGCACCCUAAAGAGGAAGAGUAUCUUAUUCUUAUAGACCUUUCCAUAAUUUACCUUCAAUCGGUAAUGCUAGAAUAGGUGCGGUGGUUAAAAGAGUCUUGAGAUUUUGGAAGCUCUCCUCACAUUUUUCAGUCCAUUCAAAUGGGAUCUUCUUUUUGGUCAACUUAGUCAAGUGAGUGGUAAUAGAAGCAAAGUUCUUCACAAAUUGACGAUAGUAGCUAGCGAGCCCCCACAAAACUCCUAACUUCAGUCACAGAACUUGGUCGAGCCCAAUUCUUUACCGCCUCAAUCUUUUGGGGAUCUACCAUUACCCCUUCUUAUAAACUAUAUGCCCCAAAAAUGCAACAGAAGUCAACCAAAAUUCACACUUAGAGAAUUUAGCAUACAACCUUUGUUUCCCAAGAACACCUAAAACAAUACGAAGAUGGUCGGCAUGCUCUUCCUCACUUUUCGAAUAGACCAAAAUAUCAUCAAUACAGACUAUCACAAACGAGUCAAGAUAUGGCUUGAACACCCCAUUCAUUAAACUUAUAAAAGUUGCAGGCGCAUUAGUCAAGAAAAAAUACAUAACUAAAAACUCAUAGUGCCUAUAGCGGGUUCUAAACGCCAUCUUGGGCACAUCCUCAAGCCUAAUUUUCAACUGAAGGUAGCCAGACCUUAGGUCAAUCUUGGAUAAAACUGAUGCACCUUGCAAUUGGUCAAAAAGAUCAUCUAUUCGAGGCAAAAGAUACUUGUUUUGAAUAGUGACCCUAUUCAAUUGCUGGUAAUCUAUACACAUUCUCAUACUACCAUCCUUUUUCUUAACAAACAAAACUAGGGCACCCCAUGGGGAAGCUCUAGGUCAAAUAAAUCUCUUAUCAAAAUGCUCUUGGAUUUGAGCCUUAAGCUCUUUUAAUUCCGUCGGAGCCAUACUAUAUGGAUAAAUAGAAAUGGGGCGCGUAACAGACUCCUAGUCAAUGCAGAAAUCUAUAUCUCUAUCCGGAGGUAUACCAGGCAAGUCAGUAGGACACACUUCUCUAAAUUCUGACACCACAUGAAUAGAUUCAAUAAAUGGAGUCUCAACCUCAACAUCCCUAAUGUGAGCAAAAUAAGCCAAACAACCCUGCCCUACCAGUUUUCUAGCCCAAAUGAAGGAUAUGAUCUUAGGUUGCUUAGGCUUGUACACCCCUUCCCACUCUAACUUUUCCCUUCACAGAAUUUCUAGAGUUACUGACUUAGUAUUACAAUUUAACACAACAUAAUAGGGGACAACCAAGUCAUGCCUAAGCUAAUAUCAAAGUCAGUCAUAUCCUAAAUCACCAAAUCAGCCCAAGUAUGAAAACCAUAAAAAAAAUAGGACAAGCACGAUAGACAUGGGUGACUAUGACUGACUCUCCAACUGGGGUAGGAACAUGGAUAGCGGAAUCAAGUAUAUCACAAAUCAUAUCAAACUUUGAGGCAAAUCUCACAAAGACAUAAGAAUAAGUAGAACCCGGAUCAAAUAACACAUUAGCCAUCCGGUCACAUACAAGAAUAGUAAUUGUGAUCACUGCGUCAGAUGCCUCUGCCUUAUUCUUGCUCGGAAAUGCAUAAAACUGAGCCCUAUCAUCUUGACGAACCACUUAUAUGCCUUUUUGCACGUUACCCCUGCCUGCAUUACCAUUUCCUCUACCUCUACGGCCUUACUGAUUACCUCCUCACCCACCUUGUGGAUGCCCUCGACCAUUAUUACCAUUCCCUACGGGUAGCACUUCUCUAGACUACUGCUGCGCGGAGUCCAACACACGUGGGUGAGGACAAUCUCUCCUCAUAUGCCCAAGCUCUCCACAUUUGUAACAUGUACGAUCAAAAAAUAGCCUACUGCCCACUUAAGGUGCGACUCCCUAGCUAUCAUGAAUUAAAUUAUGAGAUGGAGUACCCAAGUAAUUACCUGUAGAGGAGGGCAUAGCGGAUUGAAUUGACUUGGCUGCAAGCGUUGGCCUCCCUGAACCUCUAGAAUAAGAACCUUGAAAGUUUCCUGAAUUCUUGGCCCUUUUUGUCAAUGCCUUAGCCUGAUCGGCUCGCCUCAACCCCUCCACUUUCUUAACAUAGUAUGUUACCUCAUUAAAGCUCCUCCCUGUAGAAGUCAUAUGAAUAAAUAAUACUUGUAACUCAGAAUUUAGUCCCCUAAUAAAUAACCGGAUCCUCUCCUCCUCAGUAGUCACCAAUUGAGUAGUAUAUCUAGACAAGGCAUGUAACUUGGCCUCAUAAGCAACCACAUGCAUACCACCUUGCUCCAAAGCCAUGAACUCAUUCUUAUUGCGAUCCCUCAAAGUCCUAGUCACAUACUUCUCUAGAAAUAGAGCAUGAAAUUAGGUCCAAGUAAGUGGAGGUAAAGUAGAAGAUCUGCAUUCCAUAUAAGCUCUCCACCACUGUUUGGCCUCACCUUGAAGCUGAAAGUCACGAACUCAACCCCAUGUUGAUGGAAAAUUCCCAACUUAUGAAGCCUCUCAUAGCAGUCUAAGAUAAACUCAUAAGCAUCCUCAUUCUCAGAACCAAGAAACACAUGAGGCUUUAGCUUUAAAAACUUGGUCAACAUUUCAUGCUCAUUACCAGUCAUAACAGAACCCAACAAAGGACGGAAGAAAGCAUCAUUACAUCUCGUUCCACCUGUCUUGGGCGCAGUGCUAGCAAUAGGGAGAUUAGCGGGAGCUUGAGUUGCUUGAACAGAAGGAAGCACUCCAAGACCAACCAACCCUUUCAAGAAUGACAUGAUCUGUCGAGCUAAAAUUGGGUCUAUGGGAGGAAUAUCAGUAGUCUUAGCCAGCACCUCUUCCUCUUGUCCCACGUCCUCAAUGUUGUCAACCUCGAUAUCCUCUUCAAUCUCUUCAUGAUGUACGAGAGGGUCUCAUUUUAGGGAAUAUUUUUUACCGGUACCCCAUCUCUAGCAGGCGCCACUCUUCCAUGGUCUAUACCCCUAGCUCUUCCUCUACCCCUGCCUCGACCGCGACCUCUCGCUGUAGAUUUCUAAGUUGGAGCAUUGACGGGAGCUACGUGCCUGACGCCGUUGAAUCUAGUGUUAAUUAUCUGUGGACAGAAGAGUGAAGGAGGUUAGAUACCAAUUUGAAUCGUCAGAUACCAAUUGGAAUCAAGUAAUAGCACGAAAGGAGACAAGAGAAACAGAGAGAUUUCCUAAAGUGCUAUAGCCUCUCGAAGAAAAGUAAAGGUGUACCCGUACUAUUUCGCAAGACUCUACUAGACUCGUUUUGGUACUCUAUUAGUCCUUUGAAUUUGAUAAGUAUACAUGAGUUUGAGGUGUCAUGUUGAUGAAAAGAUUGACUUCGUAGUGAUAGUCAGGGCUGACUAAUCAUAAUGGUAAUAAGAGUUUGUGAUGGGAUGCAACUAUAUAAUAAGAUUGUUGGUUAAGCGAAUUUUGUAUAGUAAUUACGACUUGCGAGUAUCUAGGGUUGUGGUUUUCUAAUAUUUGGUGAGUAACGUGGUUGUAUGGAAAGUUUUCAGAGAUGGUGGGACACCACUCGAAUAGAAUUUAAAGAGCUGGAGUCUUAAUGAAGAAGGAAAUAGUUGGAUGUAGUACAACCUUUAAAGAGAGGUGAGAUCAAGAGGCUAAAGAGGUAUCUUCAGAGGGGUAGAUAAUUCGGUUUAGAGACGUGUGAUUUCAUUCCUUUUGUUGUGGCUAUGGUAAUAGUGUCACGGGUCCAUCAGAUUGGUUAAAAACUAUUGAAAAAUAUUUGAGAAAGGAGUGUACAGGCAUAAGCUCGAGUGUGAUGAUAAGUGCUUUGUUUUUGUUUUUGAGUUUAGUAAUCAGUACGAUUGAAAUUUUAGCAAAAUAUAUUGUAAGAUCGAUGGAGAUGCGAUUAAUGAUAAGCGAAGAUCCAUGAAUUCAUAAAAAUCUUCAAGGUAUAAGCUAAUGUUGAUAGAUAAGGGGAUUGUGUUAUACAGUUGAAUUUACGAUUCAAAUUUUUCAUUGUAAGUCUACAUUCGUGGUGAUAUAUUUUUUCAAGGUAUGAAUUUUUAAGGUGAGAAAUGAUCAAUUGUAUCAGAUGUUGAACCUUUGAAAGGACUUACACCGGGUUUGAGUCGUAAAGUUUAUUACUUUUGAUUGUUAAAGUACCUAAGAAAUGUUUUCAUUUAAAAGUGCUGGUUUAGAGUAAGGUAAAUGGUCGGAGUGUUCAUGAUGGUUGUUAGUAAUGAGAGUGUGGACUUCAGUGGAAUGAUGUGAAGAGUAUGUGGAGUCAACCCAAUGGAAAUGACUGGUAUAGACUCUUCAAAGGAAAACCUUUAGUGUUAUUCCGUAAAAUUCUUAUGUGGCCAUCUAUUUCAUUUUGCACACGGUGGUGAGUAUGUUUUACUAGCUAUGCUCACAUGUUUUUUCACUUUUGUGGGUGGAUCUCUAGUGGUGGAUCAGGGGUACCAAUCAUGCGAUGUUCUCUGGUUGAGUGGGAUGAUUGGGAAUAUUGGUUAUUUCAGAUGACAUAUUUGGUGUUGUCUUGGAGUUGUUAAAGUAUUUCAGUGGUUCUACAUGUACCACCUUCCUUAUGAGAAUUCAUAGAAGAGCUACCAUGCAUAAUUAUGUUUGUCCGACAAUCUUAAUAUUCAUCUUGUCGUCGAGGUCAUGUAACGAUUAUGUGUGGUUGAAUAUGGAGAUCAUUGGGUCCAAUUCCACUGUUCUUAAGGGUAAUCUACAAUCACAAUUGCUAAAUCUAGCAUUUCAAUAGUUUUGUUAGGGGGUUUGUAUGCUUGGAUAUACCCCUCAAUAAGUAUCUAAUGUCUAAAGACCAUUUUUUUGUAACUUAAGCUUAUGGAAGUUUAUAUUGGGAGAUUGAGAUGUUGAUAAGAACUAAGAGUGUUGGGUAUUAUGAGUGUGUGUUGGUUAGUUCAGGUUCACUUCUAGUUGUAGUGAGUAUUGAUUUGGAUUUUUAUCAUGCUUAAGUGUUAAAGGAUUUGUCCGGAUGAUGGUGUCAAGGUCCUUGAUAACAUGUUGCAGACAUGUGUACGAGCAACUUUGGUGGUUGUUGGGUAUCGCUUUUGUUGUUAGUUAAGUUUACAUAUAACAAUAAUUAUCACUCGAGUAUUGACAUGACUUCAUGGAGGCAUUGUAUAGGAGGAUGUGUAGGUAUUCAAUUGGUUGGUUUGAGGUUGAAGGUGUGAAACCCUUAGGGGGUUGAUUUGGUGAAAGAUUUUCAAGAUAAGGUGAGAAGCAUCCAACCUAGCCUUCUAGAAGCCCAGAAUCGACAGGAAAAGUAUGCGGGAAAGUAUCCCUAGUUAUUCGAUGACUCGUGUACUACUCUACUCUUACCUUAGCCAAUUUUUCCUAGUUUAGCCAAUUUUUCCUAGUUUAUCACUCAGAGAUGAGUGAUAGGUAAAUUGGUAUCUAUUGUAAUGACUUGUUCCCGUUAUUAUGGAAAAGCCAAUGGGGAAUGAAUUUGGGCUAGAAAACUUUUGAGUAGUGACUUGAAAAAUUGUAGCCUAGUCCAGAUUUGGACAAAAUUUGAGUCAGGCGAAGUCUAGCGAAAUCUGGUAAUUAAUGGGGGAUCUAAUUAUGAAUUUGAUCACAUGAGUGGAUAGACAAGACGUUAAGGAGCCUAUACGGCUUUACAUAAUCAAAUUCGGGAUGGUAUAACUCCCGAAACUAAUCUUAGCGUGACCGGGUAGUUUUUGAACGUCAGGGUUGAAGGUGUGUUGUGAAAUGGGGGUUUGAAACUCUAAUUCCGACUCUCUGUCUUUGUAUAAGUCGCUAGGGUAGGGACGCUAAGGCGGGUUGGGUCCCGCUAUGAUGGGCCAGUCGAGACUUAAGUCGGGAUUAAACCCCAAAAACGUUAUUUUUCUGUAAGUUUCGUUCUUGAGAGCUAAGAGACGACCCAGGGAUAUUUCUUGAAGGUUUUCCACCUCUUCUAGCACUAAAGGUAAGGAUUUUACUCCCCUAAUCCAUUUUUUGAUCCGUAGAACUUAGAUUCUUGGUUAAUUAUUAUUGGGGGAGGGUUUUGGACUGAAUUUAAUGGUGGGAAAAAGCCUUAGUUGCACCUUAGGAUCAUGAGUUUGGUCUUGGGUUAUUGGGUUUUUUAUAAUCCGGGUAAUUAGACCUUAAUUAAUUGAUCCUUGCAUUAAAUUGUUGUUUGUAGACCUAGAACUAGCAAAAAGAAUCUGGAAAGGGAAGAUUCAAGUGCCUUAGGGGAAUUCAAUCUUGGUUUCGAGGUAGGUGAUGGUUUGAUUUCAUGUUUGUGAGAUAUAUGUUGGUAAUUGCUUCCUUGUAAUGCAUGUAUGUAUGUAAAUGAAGCAUUGUUGAUCAAACCUAAUGAAAAAAAGUAUGAAUGAACAAUUGAAUGCCAUGAUUCAACACUUGAUUGUCUGAUUUGAGUAUGUACAUAUGAGUGUGAUUGUGAUUGUGGUUGUGUUGAAUGGAUCGGAUGUCAAUUUCCGACACACUAACUGGGAUCGGUUGUCACGUUUCGACACUAACAUUGGAUCGGAUGUCAUGUUCCGACACAUAUAUUGGAUCAGGUGUCACAUUUUGGCACACUAAUUGGGAUCGGGUGCUACGUUCCGAUACACUAACAGUUUGGGUAUGAGUUCCAUGAGAGGACCAUUGAAUUGUCAUAUUCACUUAUUAUUGAGAAUGCGGAUUUGUACAUUGCUCUUGAAAUAAUAACUGUGCAUAUAUUCUGUAUAUGUCAUGUUUACUAUGUUGUGACUGCCUAUAUAUGUUUCGUUCAAUGGGAUAGUUGCGUGAUCUUACCAGUACACUGUGGUUGUAUACUGAUACUGCACUUGCUCAUUCUUUGUUGAGUACAUGACAUCUUCAGGAGGCUAUUGAUAGACCUCAUCUAGGAGAUCAGUGAUCGGAUCAGAUUUUAAGGGUGAGCCAGUUCUUUUAGGCUGCCAUGAAACCCUUCAUUUUUGUUUAGUCCAUUCUCUUCGGACUCAGACUAUUGUUUAGAUGUUUCUUAUGCUUAAUUUUGGGUUGUACCCAUUUUCUUAGACUUGUUGAAUUUAGAUGUUUUGGUACAAUGACUUUCAGAUUCUAAGGGUUAAACUUCCGCAUUAGUUUGGUUAGUUAUUUGUUAAAACCUUUGGAGUUUAUGAGAACUCUAUAUAAUUUCUGCAUUUAAACCUGCUUCCGUAUCUUUAAAUGUUUAGUUUAUUGUUGAGUUGCUUAGUUGGGUUGUAGUAAUGGUUCUCCCACCGGAGGGUUAGUGUGUGUAUCAAUCACGACUGUCUGGUUCGUGACACUCCAACUCAAGCAACAACAAACAUUUGGUAAUUUGACCUUGGUAGUUACACUAAGAAAUACUGAGGUACGAACCAGUAUGUGUAGCAUUCUCGAUGAUAUGUCUUCAUUAGUGGUCCUAUAUGAUACCGUUAGAGUAUCAAUAUACUGACGGAGUAUCACAGAUGAUUAAGCUCACUCCUAUAUGAUACCGAUAUGGUAUUAAUAUACCAACAAAGUGUCACAAAGGAUUAAUUCAUAGUAGUGAUGUUGAUGUCAUGUUGACAACAUGUGCGAAAUAAGAAAGGAGAAAGUGGGGUAAGCAUUUAAAUUGGUUGGGUCGCCGGUCCAUUAAGCCUAAAUAGAUGGAUAAAUUAUUAAACUAGUAAAAAAUUCUAACAUAAUUAUUAAAAAUAUCCAUAUUUUAUAAAUAUUAGUAAAAAUAUCAAAAUGUCAAUAUUUUAGAAAAUAUUGUGUAUCCUAAUUUAGUUCCUAUUUUAUCUCACCUUAAUUACACGUUUUCCAACUCAUUCUCCCUCAUAUGUUUUUAAAAAAAAAGUAUUCUCUCUCACUGAUUUCUCUCUUCAAGUUCAAAUUCUUCUUCAUCUUUAAAUUUCCGCCUCUCUCUCUUCCGUUAUUUUCAUUUUUUUCUUCAAAAAUUGGAAAAUAUAUCUUUAAAGAUAUUCACUACAAUCCCUUUGAUUAAAGUAUGCAUCUUUAUCCGAUUUUUAGAUUUGUUUACUGAUUUUAUUUUUGUUUAAAUUUUUUUUAAAAAAUGUUUGUAAUUGAGUAUUAAAUUGACCAAUUUUCGUUUAGGGCUUGAAAACCACAAAAUCACUCUCUAAUGGCCGAAUCUAAGAGGUUUACAAGAGGUAUCUAACUUAAUAAAAAAAUUCUAGCGAUUUUCCAUCCUUUAAUCUAUGUAUUAUUCAAGAAAUAGCGGAUAAUGUAGGAUCCGCUGCUAAAAUGACGAAAGAAGACGAUCGAAGAGUUGGUGUUUGCAUCCUUUUGUACUCUGAAUCUUCUAAGAGUUUUCUUAAUUUUUGUAUUCAUUACAGUUUUUUGAGUGGCCUGAUGUUUUUUUGUAUUCUGAAUCUUUUUGUUAUGUUGUAUUUUGUAUUCAUUACAUAAUCUGAGUGUUCAUUGUUUAUUGUAUUCUGAAUCUGAUUGGGUAGUUACACACUUGUAUUCAUUAAAGAAAUUGAGUGAUAUGGUGUAUUUUGUAUUCUGAAUCUGUAUGGUAUGUCGUAUUUUGUAUUCUGAAUAUUUUUGGUAUGUUGUAUUUUGUAUUGUUUAGAGAAUCUAGGUGGUUAUUUUUUUUUAUUGUAUUCUGCAUCUAAGUGGACAGUUACACUUUUGUAUUAAUUACAUAAACUGAGUUUUCUGUUAUAUUAUGUAUUCUGAAUUUAAGUGGUAUGUUGUAUUUUGGUAUUCAAUAUCAAAUUCAGUUUACAUCUUUGUUGAAUUUGUAUUUAUAGAUUUAACCUUGUUUUCAUGCUGAAUUGUUUAUUUGUUUCAUUUUGUAUUUUAUUAUAGGCAGCAUAAUCAAGAGCUUGAUGCCGGAGUCAUUAGUGAUAGUGAGGCACCUCCGAGGCAUAAACAUGCCUCACAUAGUUUGCGAUGAUAUUGAAACAAUUUGAAAUACAAUAAUGGUUUAUUUGUAGUUUGGUUAAUCUUGCUUGAUUCUAAACUAUUUUGUCUAAUAUACAUUUAUCUUUUUGUAGUAGUUUAUUCUGCAAAGUCGUCGUUUUAAUCUUAUGAAGUUUUGAUUUAUCAUUAAAAAGGUUUGACAUAUAUUAUUGUAUUUCAUUAAUUGCAUAUUUUGUAUCUCUUCAUAGAGUACUAAUUAUAAAUGGUUAUGGUUUGAAAUAACUAAAAACAAGGCGGAUUCGUUAGUGAUGUUUCAAAUACGGAUAAAAUUUGAGUUGACACGAUUAUUCCUAUACAAUUUAAUUAGAAUUUGAAUUCAUAAUCUAAGACCUAAAUUACCAAAUUGUAAUCUAUUUUUGUAUUCAUUCCUUCUAUAUUCAUCAACAGUUUUUUUUGUAUUUCACUUCGCUCAUCUUGUAUUUAGGUUUCACUUUAUAUGCCAUAAAUAUUUCGAGUUAUUUAAAAUUUUGUGUGCCAAAUGGUAUACCAACAAGGUUUGUAUUCAAUGUAUUUGAUUAUUUUGGAAUUUAAUUUCAAAAUCAUACAACUUUAAAAAUAUGUAUACAAUUUGAUUUAACACCAUUAUUUUCUAACACAAUUUAAUUAAAAUUUGAAUUCAUAAUAUAAGACCUAAAUUACACUUAUUUUUAGUUUAUUUUUGUAUUCAUUCUAUCUAUAUUGACAUUUUGAAAAUUUUCUCAAUUAUAUAUGAACAUUUUUUGUAUAUCGUUUUGCUCAUCUUGUAUUUUUCACUCUAUAUACCAAAAAAAAAAUAUUCCAGUUCUUUUAAAAUUUGUGUGCCAAAUGGUAUACCAACAUGGUUUGUAUUUAAUGUAUUUCACUUUACAACUUUGUAUUUCUUAUAAAUUAACUAGUCUUCAUAAUUAUAUACUUUGCUUGUUAUAUUCUACACAUCAUUAAAGACUAAUCAGAUUAAUAUGUUCCUUUUAAAAAUUGAUAAUGAAACUAUGUGGACGCUGCUCUGUGGUUUAUUUUUUUAUUUUGUAACUGAUGAGAAUUUUAAGUGAUAUGCUCCUUUUUAAAAAUAUUUUCUCCCCUAAAUUUCUCCUUUAUGUUAUUAAACAAUUGUAUUAUUUCAAUUAAAACAAAUAAUAACAACAUAAAUAAGAUAAAUAACAAACUACAAUUUUGAAUGUUUUAAUAAAUAUUGAAAGUGUGGCUAAGGGGUCCUAUUAAAUGCUAAAAUAUUGACAUUUUGAAAAUUUUCUCAUAAUAGAUUGGGUUGCGUCCAUUUUUGGUAAGUAAUUUCCCAAGUGGGUCCAUUUUGUGUAGUUUUUCCUUACUUUUAGUAGAGUAGUGAUAUAGAAAGUUUUAAUAAAGAAGUAAUUAAAUUACAUUUUAAUAUUGGGAAAGUUACGUAAUUACACGACUUAAUAUAACAUAGAUUGUGUUUGGUAUGAAGGAAAAUAUUUUAUUGGAAAAUAAGUUGAUUUCUAACUUAUUUUCUAAUGUUUGGUUGGUGAGUAAAGAUAUUUUUUAGUGUUUGGUUGACGAAUGAAAAUAUAUUUUCUAGAAAAUAUUUUUUAUUUUUGACUAGAGAGUAGAAAGUAUAUUUUAGGAAAAUAAUUUUUGAAUCGAAAACCAAUCUCGAUAACUGAACCAGGACCCGACCCCAACAUUCGAACUAGGACAUGACCCUGAAGAUUGAUUCUCAAUCCGACCCUGAGAUCUGGCCUAGGAUUUGGCCCUGACUUUUCACUCGAGACAUGACAUUUGAACUGGGAUUUGACCUCGACCCCGGUCCCAACACUCAAACCUAGACACAACCACGAUAAUCGAUCUGAAAUCCGAUCCCGAUAUUCGACCCAAGACAUGACCUCCAACACCCGACACCUAACCCUGACCCAACAGCGAUACCCCAAAAAUAUUUUCAAAAUAAACUUUGUUAAGAAAAUUAAGGGAGGGGGAGGGGUGGUAGGGUAAAAAAUGAAAUGUUUAAAAUUUAAAAUUUAAAAUCUUUUUCAAGAACAAAUUUUUAAUUUUCUUUUUUCGGNNNNNNNNNNNNNNNNNNNNNNNNNNNNNNNNNNNNNNNNNNNNNNNNNNNNNNNNNNNNNNNNNNNNNNNNNNNNNNNNNNNNNNNNNNNNNNNNNNNNGGCUGGUAGGAGGGUCGGGGUAGGGGGGCUCGUAAGGUGGUCGGUUUAUGGAUGAAGUAAAACAAAUGAAAUUUUUAAAAUUUGAAAUACUUUCAAAAACAAAUUUUUAAGAAAAAAAUUGUGGGGGAUGAUUAGUGGUUGGGUGGCGUAAAAAAAACUGAAACUUUUAAAAUUUGAAUUAGUUUAAUAAAUAAAUUUUUUAAAUUUUAAUUUAUUUGGUUUGGUGGGAGACUGCGUCUGGGGGCUGGUUUGGAAAAUGUUCCUUGCCUUUUUCAAGGGAAGUCAUUUUUUAAAAAUUUGAUGAAAAUAAGUUGAUUUGGAAAACAUUUUUCAAAAUAUUUUAAGUCAACCAAACAAGAGAAAAUUGGAAAACCAAACACACCCAUAAUCUCUAAGAAUCUCUACCAUUUGAAUUAAUUACAAAAAUUCAUUUUUUUUUCAUCUCCCUCUUAACAUCUAGAUGCAUUACUCCACUUCUAUCAGAUACAUUACAAUUUUAUUUGGGUACAAUGUAUGUGGUACAAAUGUUAUUAUUGAUACAACACCCCAAUUAUUUCAAACCUAAAUCAGUAUGAAUCUGGUUCAUAGUAGUGUAUCUUAUACAUAACUUAUGUAUCGUUGGCUAUGUAUUGGGCGAAGGAGCAAUGUAUCCACAAAUUCUGAAAAAUCCAAAAUUAUUGUAAUUUGAAAUUUUUUCAAAAUAGAAUGUAACUAGCACCCAAAUUAUUGGGAUAUUUGUAAUUUAAUAUUUUCCUAUAAAUGUAUAUGAAAUGUUAUUGGUUUGUCAAAUCAUUGACGCUCAAUACUUUUGUGUACAAUAUUUUCCAGUUGUUUAUAACCCAUUGUUUUUAUUAGAGGUCAAAAAUGAUAGAUACAAGUGCCAACAAAAUAUUGUUUCUCCCAAUUGCAUGUAUUCCUCGAAAAGGACCAAAACCAGGAAUACAUUGCCCUCUUUUAUCCUAAAUCUUCAUGACUCUUUGUUGAAUUUUGCAUUUUAUAUGCGUAUAUCAAGGUUUGAAUCAACAACUAUUCAUGAAUAAACAAAAUUCUUAAAAUUAUUUAAAACACACAAUUGUUGAAUUUAAUUCAAAUCUACGUAUUCAUUCAUAAUUUUGUUGUUCAUGUUAAAGAUUUUGUUACAGAAGAUUGGGGACGAUGCCGGAAAUAGAAUUUGGUAUGCACACGGUGAGAUCUCAUGGGGCUAAGGUGGCCAAAAAACACAAAUGUGACUGGUUGAUUUUACUUGUGCUUGUGGCAAUGGAUGGAUUCUUAAACUACAUUCAACCUUUCAAUCGUUAUACUAACUCAAAAAUGUUGGAAGAUCUCAAAUUUCCUUUCAAGGAACACGACACCAUCCCAAUGUGGGCCGUUCCUGUAUGUAUUUACUUCGGAGUUUAACUUAUAUAUAUCUCAAUAGUUUUUUUUUAUAACCUAUUAUAGCGAGUUACAUGUCUUAUUUUUCAGGUUACUAGCUAACUUCGUUUAUUAUGGCCUAUUUAUUUGUAACUACCUUUAAGUAAUGUGAUGGCAUAAAAGAGUUCUACACAUCCAAUGGUGUGUUGAAGUUAAACUCUACUACUUUUAUGUAGGGGAGUAUCUAGAGAGGUGGGAAGGUGUUCGGUCAAACCCCUUGGUAAAAAAUUAUAUUGUAUAUAGGGUAGAUUAUCUAUAUAUAUAAGUUGUGAAUUCCCUGAACAACGUGCAGAAGGUUAGCUCAAUGAUUCAAGAUAUUUGAAAUGCACCCUAACAUCCAAGGGUUUGAUUCUUAGGGAUUGCAAUAUUUUUCGAACACCCUGAGUGAAAAACCUGAACCCGACACAGCUUUUAUGGCUUUAAAACUCAAUAAUUCUCAUACCUCCAAAUGAUUAUACCCUUUGUUACAUUCUUUUUGUUGUGGUAGAAAUGAGUAUUCAUUUUCUGAGGUUUUACCCCAUCCUUUUUUUGAUAAUUUUCCCACUAUAACAGAUAUUUGCAAUAAUUCUACCAUGCACAGUGUUUCUCAUUUACUAUCACUACAGGAGGGAUGUAUAUGAUUUGCAUCAUGCCAUAUUGGGUGGGUUUUAUUUGAAGUUUUAUAAGGAAAAAACAAUUUUCGAUUUUUUGGAUUUUCAUUGUAGUUAGUACUAUGAAAUUGAUGACCUUUUGCUUGUAAAUCUAGGCAUCCUGUAUUCUGUUCUAGUGACUGCAGUAAUCACCGAUAGCAUCAAAGAUGCUGUUGGUCGUCCACGCCCAAAUUUCUUCUAUAGAUGCUUCCCGGAUGGAAUCGAGGUGUGUCUCCUUUUUCACACUUUAACAUAAUAUUAUGCCUUGAACUUCGGAGAUUCUUUCAUGUAGUCCAAAAUAUGAUCCAACUCAAAAGGUCUGUGAUUCAACCUAUAAGUCGAUACUAUGUGAUCGAGGUCUGUGCUAAGCGCAAAAAUUCAACUUUUACUGUUUAUGGCAAUGGGGGUAAUUGGAAAAGACACGGCCUAAGUGUUCAUUUUUCUUCUUUUAUAAUGUGUGUGUUAUUCUGAGUAUGCCAUAACAUAACAGUUAACUCGAAAAGUUUGACAUCAACUCUAAUACAAAUUUUGCAUUAAGAUACCUUUUUCAAUUCAUAUGCAGGCCUUUCAACCUAAUGGGGAUGCUAAUUGUCAUGGAGACCCUAAAGUUGUGAAAGAAGGAUAUAAAAGCUUUCCCAGUGGACAUACCUCAUGUUAGUAGUGUUCAUUUAUUCUUAGUUUCUUCGUUUUUGUUUGUUUUCUUCUUGUUUAUGAGUUUAUGCUUGUCAAAAUAUAGGGUCAUUUGCUGGCCUUGCUUUCCUGUCAUGGUACUUGUGUGGAAAAGUGAAGGCUUUUGACAGAAGAGGCCAUGCUGCAAAACUCUGUAUUGUUCUGCUUCCUUUACUCUUUGCUGCAUUAGUCGGAAUUUCUCGGAUUGAUGACUAUUGGCAUCACUGGACAGAUGUAUUCACUGGAUCCAUUAUAGGUUGGUUCAACGUUCCUAUCCAACACUUGUAUGGAUUCACUACUUUGAUAAGUUUGCAAAUUGAUUUUAGCUUGUUUACCUGAUAAUAUAAAAGUAUACUAUUAGUAUCAUGUAGCAGGUUAACCACUAUAGACAUUGCAUGUAGUUGGCCUUCAAAUGAACUAAUAGUGUAAAAAAACAUUACACUAUCAAUGUUCGCGCCUUAUAAUUAUCAAAUUCUGACUAUGCUAUUCUGAGAAAUAGUGUAGCUAAACAUCUCAGUGUUUUUUUCGUACAGGAAGCGUGGUUGCCUCUUUAUGCUACCUGCUUUUCUUUCCAUUCCCUCAUGAUAUCAACGGUACAGCCUCAACUCUCUGAAAACAGAAUGAAUCUCUUAGUUCAAUGUCAACGUUACUAGUUAUUUUCUAAAUAUUGUUCAUUUUUCCAUGAUAACAGGGUGGGCACCUCAUGCAUCUAUCAAAAUGAGAGAAAAUAUUAAAUUGCACUCUACAUCAAUAGGAAUUGACACCGUGUAAUGCAACGAGAGUACAAGAGGCAACCCUCAUUAUCCAGGCAUGAACAGUAAUGCAAGAUGUUGAUGGUGAUGGAAGGAGAUACUGAAUUCAGAUCUCCAUAGCCUCGUCGAAAGAGCAAAUACAUCAUCUAAACCUUUGUACUCUUCUUUUAGUUUAGUCUGGCUUAUGUUGGCUCAGUCUGAAGUCAUAUCUAUAUAUCAAAAGAGUUGUACAAUAUGGAGAGAACAUUGUUCAUUACCUCCUCAUUUUCUAUGGGGACAAAGAAAAGGUUCAAAGUACUCUUACAAAACAGUCUUGUUGUACAUUUGUAUCUACAUCUAAAUAAGAUGAAAGAGAUUACUCCGAUUGUUGGGUUCCAAAGAACUAGGGCGUCAUGUUGAAGCUUACAAUUGUAAAUAAUGUUUGGAAUAAAUAAAUGACAAAAACUUAUACUAAAAAUAUAAUACUGUUAUAUAAUUUGGUCAAUUGGUCUAUAUAUGAGAAAGCAAUAUAAAGAAAAUAUUGAAACUAUUGAGGAAAAAAUCUCUCCCUAAACAAAACUCUUAAAUGACUACAUUCUGGAUGUUAUUAUGGUCUUUUGGUAUGAGAAGAGAGUUAUUCAAUUUAUAGAGUUUCAAGCUUUUCCUCAAAAAAGGAAUAACAAAUAUGGAAGAGAAUUAUAUUUUCCUUGUAGAAAAUAACAAAAGCAGUUAUGAUAAUGCUAAUAUGGUUAGAAAAUCAAGACAAAACCUUACUAUCUAGGUACAAAUGUGAGAUCACUAAAGUUAAAGCAGCUUCUUGACCGAGCAAAAAAUUAUGAUUUUAUUGUAUAAUGAGAGAAUAAUGUAAGAAUACUAAACACGAAAGGAAGAAAAUAAUAUGGAAAAUCGAAUGUAGAAAGUAUAUUGCAGUUCUCUUCAAAUGUGUCUUUCACAAGGGUGAAGAAUACACAAUACUAAACACGAAAGGAAGAAAAUAAUAUGGAAAAUAUUUAUAGGACAGUAUAUUGCAGUUCUCUUCAAAUGUGUCUUUCACAAGGGUGAAGAAUACACCUUUAUAGGACAAACAAUUCAUCUGCUUACAACCUCUAAAAAUGUGUCAGUACUAUAUUUAAGAAAUACAUUAAAUAGAUUCUACGUUAGGGAGUUAAUUGAAUGAAAUAUCUACAAUUGAACGACUUCAUAACACUUUUCCUUGGAUGUUUAUAGAUAAUGUGCCUCAUCAAAUCUUACUAGGAAAAAGCCUAGUGAAGAAAAAAAGUACACAUAUCUCGUUAUACGUCUUGUGUGUUGCCUCAUUAAAUACCUUAUCAGGAAACUCUAGUAGGACAAAACCUUGAUGAAGGGAAAAAGAGUACUUUGCGUAUUUUAAUCCUCUCGAUGAAAACUUUAUUUGAUACUCCUUCCGUCCCUUUUUAUAUGUCAUUCCUUUCUAUAAAUAUCUGGACCACAAUACUUGUUAUUUUAUAAAAUUUAUGCAUAAGUUACCAUAUUUUGCCUAUUAUAACCCUUGAUAGAGUAGUUAAUUAAUCUUGAAAAUGUAUUCAUCAUUUAUUAUAAAGUUGACUUAAGAAAACAUUAUAUAAGGGUAGAAGGGUAAAGUUACAUCAUUUCUUAAUGCAAGUGCAAAGUAAAAGUGUGACAUAUAAAAAAGAACGGAGGGAGUAUCUCGGAGACGAGAAUUCCAGUCUUAUAUCUUAGCUUCUGAAAUAUUGACAUUGACAAUGUCUUAAUAAACAAAACUGAAAUAUUAUCACUCGAAUGAAUCUGUUGAACAUCUACCUCACUAUUUUGUUGAAGAUCACGUGUGAAAAAGAGCUAAGGUGAUAUAUAUUUUGUUUGGUCUCCUUUGAUAUAUCCUUCCUUCAAUUGAGAUAUGCAAGAAUCAUUAUUUUUAUAUAAUAUUAUUGGAAUUUUUGUUUACACAGAAAGACCACAUAAUUGCAAAAUAUGUUGAGUCAUUGAUCUCAACCAUACACACUUUCGAUUGGUUUUAUGAAUGACCAUUAUUUCUGCGUAAUUUGAAGAAGUGACAACUAUUGUUUACUUCAUUGAUAGUCAUGAUGUCGUUGUACCUACACAUGUGAAUAAAUAGCCUCUGAGGUUGAAUUUUGUGUGAUCAGACAAAUAUCCUUUUCAUGCCCCAAAAUCGGGUCAUGAUGACGUCCACUACAACCCACCGAGUGGACAAACCUAAACUCAAAUAACAGGAUGCGGAAGACACAGUUUAUACAAAAACAAUAAUAAUAAGUGGAAGACUAGAGUAAUAUAGAGAAAAAGGGUCAUAUCAUAUAUAUCUGUAGUGCAAAAUGUAGAAAAUAGGCCCAAAAGUGACCAAAUAACAAACUAACACAAGAUACCAAUCCCCCGAAUCUAGUGUCAGCUAUACAGGAGCUACUACGAACAAAAAGCUAUAAGUAUAUACAGAAAACUGUGUAACGACCCGUUAGAUUAUUUUGAGUACUAGAACUAUUUUGACACUUCCCGUAAAUUCUAAAUGGGCAUUUUGAACUAUUCGUAACUAUAAUUAUAUACCUAGUGGGGUAAUUUUAAUAAUUAAUCUAGUUGGUGGUUAAGAAAAUAGCAUUAAAAUUAGUAAUGGGCCACUUCCACUACUUUUAUAAUUAGUCAUGUAUAAUAAUUAGGGUUGUAAAUAAUCUGGAGAAGAAAGAAAGAGAAAAUAGAUGAUCGGCCACGAAAACCAAGUUGCAACGAGCGCUUCAGGUGAGAAAAGUUUUUCAGCUUUCAAUAUUAGAUCGUUGCGUAUAUAAAUAGAUUAUUAUAUUGUUAGAAUAAAGAGGUGAAUUGCUAUUUCUAUUUGCACCCACACGAAUUUGAUUGGAAAAAUUGAAACCAAAAGUUGUGGGGAAUAAGAUCUGAAGGUCGUCAUUGUUUAAUGAUCAACUUCUUUUCCAUUUGAGAAAUUGAAAUUUGGAAAGAUGCUCAGGUGGUUUAUACGUAUGCAUGGAUGGUUGUUUGAUUUUCUUCUGUUCAAGUUAUUGUAUGUAAAUUGAUGAUAAUUUGGGGGUCCUCUUCUAUUUUAUUGUUACAAUUGUUUUACAAAAUCAAGUUUUGACACUACUAUUAUUAUAUAUAACUAAAUAUUAGGUGUAUUGUAUUAUAUAAAUACCAUUAUAGUUAUGUUAUUUGGAGGAACUAAGAUUUAACCCUAGGCUUAAAUUUAAGAAAUAUGGGAUUUGACCUAUUAAUGAAAAUCAUGUUUGAAACUUCAUUAUAGAAUUGAGCUCGUUUACCUAAAUGUUAUGCAUAUAUGAUAGAUUGGGAACAUUCGGAGGAAUUGAGGAAAGAAAAGCAUUGGGGAAUUAACUUGCUUGACUUCAGCUCUUCGGUGGAGGUAGGCUAUGGUUUAUUCUAUGUGAUAGAUAAACUCUUAAUAGUGAUUGAUAGUCAUUGAGUAAUAUUGUGAAUUUUUCUAUGUACUUGGUUGUUGUGGUUUGGAUAAUUCAUGUGUUGUUGUGAUUGGUUUGUAAUCCCAAGACCGCGAAAUCCAUAAUCUUGAACUUGUUCUAUUAAAGUGAUGUCUCGAAUAAAGAAGGCUUAAUAAAAUAUUAUUAGGGAAGCGGAAAGAAAUUAUCAAGAAUGACAAAUGAAGUAAAAAUAUAUUUGGAUCGGGUGCCACGAGUCGGCAUGAUAUAAUAUGAUCGGGUUUCACGUUCUGACACGGUAUUAUUGGAUCGAAUGUCACGUUCCGACACGGUAUUAUUGGAUCGGUGUCACAUUCCGACACGUUAUUAUUGGAUAGGGCAUCCGUUCCGAUACGAUAUUAUUGGAUCGGGUGUCACGUUCCGGCACGGUAACAUUAAAGGAAAAUAUAUUGAAUUAACUGAAUGCACUCAAUCUCAAAGAACUCAUUUCCCAAAUGAGCGUGGUGUGGAGGCAUGAGUCCUCGUGUAUGUGUGUCUUUGGUAUUGUGACUGAUUAAGUAUUUGCUUCAGCGUUGUUGUCACUUGUUCAUGUUGUUCGUUGCUUGCCACCUGUUAAGUGUUAUAGUUGAUUUGAUGUUAUUACUUUAUGCAUAUUAAUUUCUAUUUUGAGUCGGUCGAUGAUAUCUACUCAGUACAUGUUACCCUGUACUGAUCCCUACUUGUCUUUUCUUCGUUUUCCUUUUGUGGAGUGCAGCGAGUAUACCAGCGACUUUGACUCGCCCUCAGCUCUAGCCAAUCUCCAGCAUAUCAGCUUCUAUAGAUAGCUAUUCAUCCGAGCUCGUGUUGGAUUCUCUCGGUCAUGGCAGGAUGUCCUUAGUUUUUGAACACAGACUAUUUUAUGCAUUUAUUUUGGUGUCUUGAUACUCUUAGACUUAGUAUUUGGAGAUUAGAUGUCCUUGAUGUGAUGACUUUCAGAUUUUGGGAAACGAUAUUUAAUAGAUGUUAGUGGAUUUGUCUUUCAUACAUUAAUAAGAUUUAAGCUUCUACAUUAUGGUUAGUAUUUCGUAAGAUGAACAAUAAAUAUAAAUUGGGGUUGAAUUCAUUGGUUCUCCCACCUAGGAGGUUGUAACAACCUGUUUCUGUUGUUAGGGAAAAGCCAUUGGAGAAAAAAUUGGAUCCGACUCCUCUCCAUUUCUCUUCUCUCUAUUUUCACCAAGUUCUAGCUUGGAUUGGAGACACAUGUCAUAGUUUAGAAUUAAUGGUUGGGAUCUAAUUAAUUAAAGCAAAGUCCUAACCAUAGUUAUUUACUUUCAUAUAUUUGUUUCUUAAAUAUCUUUGCUAUCCAGUAUAUUUUUCCUAAAUAUAUUUAAAACUUUUCUUUACUGCCCUGCAUACAUAUUUAAAACUUUUACUAAAUAUUUUUACUUUUUUGAAAAAAUAUUAUAAUAAAUUUAAACGUUUUUAUUAAUUCUAAUAAAGUAUUAAUAGCUACACUGUCUAUAGAGCAAUAUGGACUCCAUUUUGCAAUUCAUUAUAUUUUCCCUAAAUAUAUUAAAAAAAUAUUUUACUCCUAAAAUUAGAAAAAAACGUAAGGUAACAAUUUUUAAUUUUUAAUUUGGUAAAUAUUAUUUAAGAAAUGGCAAACGUUAGGGAAAAAGGUAAAAAAAAUCAGCAAAAAAUUACUCAAGUAAUUAAGAAAAGAAAUUCUUAAAAUAUAUUUAGGAAAAAUAUAAUGUAAAUCUACAAUUGUCGGAUUGUAAAAAUAUUUAAGAAGCAAAUAUAUGGAAGUAAAUAACUAUGGUUAGGACUUUACUUUAAUUAAUUAGAUCUCAACUAUUAGUUCUAAACUAUGACAUGUGUCUCCAAUCCAAGCUAGAACUUGGGGAAAAUGGAGAGAAGAGAAAUGGAAAGGAGUCGGAUCCAAUUUUUUCUCCAAUGGCUUUUCCCUAACAACAGAAACAGGUUGUUACGACCUCCUAGGUGGGAGAACCAAUGAAUUCAACCCUAAUUUAUAUUUAUUGUUCAUCUUACGAAAUACUAACCAUAAUGCAGAAGCUUAAAUCUUAUUAAUGUACGAAAGAGAAGAGAAAUGGGGCUAGAAAACUUUUGAGUAGUGACUUGAAAAUUCCUAGCCUAGUCCAGAUUUGGAUGAAAUCUGAGUCAUGCAAGUCUAGGGAAAUCUGGUAAUGAAUGAGAGAUUAAAUAAUGUUACAUGAGUGGAUAAAAAAGAUGUUAGGUAGCCUGUACGGCUUUAUGAAAUCGAAUUCGGGUGAGUAAAACUCCCGAAACUCACCUUAGUGUGAACAUGUAGUUUUUGCACGUCAAGGGUUGAACGUGUGUUGUGAAAUGGGGGUUGAAAGUCUAAUUCCGAAGUUCUGCCUCGGCGCAAGGCGCCAUGGCGGGAUUUAUUCCGCCAGGGCAGGGCCGCUGUGGCGGGAUGGGGUCUGUCGUAGCAGCCCAGUCGCGAAUUAAGUCGGGAUUAAACCCCAAAUAUGUUCUUAUUCUGCAAUUUUUGUUCUUGAGAGCUAUGAAACGACCCAGAGAAAGUUCUUGACAGUUUUCCACCUUUUCUAGCGCGAAAGGUAAGGUUUUUACUCCCCUAAUCAUUUUUUCAAUUCGUAGAACUUAGAUUCUUGGGUGAUUAUCAUUGGGGUGGGUUUUGACCUGAAACUAAUGAUGGAAAAAGCCCUAAGUUGGGUAUUGGGAUCUUAGGUUUGGCCUAGGGUUGAUAAUUCGAUUGUAAUUCGGGUAAUUAGGCCUCGUUUAUUGAUCCUUGCAUUAAUUUGUUGUUUUUAGACCACGAACAAGCGGAAAGAAUCCGAAAAGGGCAGAUUCAAGUGCUUUAGAGGAAUUCAAGCUUGGUUUUGAGGUAGGUGAUGGUUUGAUUUCAUGUUUGUGUGACGUAUGUUGGUAAUUGCUUUAUUGUAAUGCAUGUAUGUAUGUGAAUGAAGCACUACUGAUCAAACCUAAUGAAAUGAGAAUGAAUGAACAAAUGUAUGCCAUGAUUCAACACUUGAUUGUAUGAUUAUGAGUAUGUACAUUAUGAGUGUGAAUGUGAUUGUGGUUGUGUUGAUUGGAUCGGGUGUCACGUUUCGACACAUACAUUGGAUCAGAUGUCACCUUUCGACACAUAUAUUGGAUCGGGUGUCACGUUUCGACACACUAAUUGGGAUUGGGUGUCACGUUCUAACACACUAACAGUUUGAGUAUGGGUUCCAUGAGAGGACCAUUAAAUUGUCAUAUCUACUUGUUAUUGAGAAUGAGAAAUUGUACAUUGCUCCUGAAAUGAUAAUCGAUGUGUGUGUAUAUAUAUAUAUAUAUAUAUAUAUAUAUAUUCUGUACUUGUCAUGUUUACUAUGUUGUGACUGUCUAUAUAUGUUUCACUUACUAGAAUAGCCGUGUGAUCCUACAAGUACAUUGUGAUUGUGUACUGAUACUACACUUUCUCAUUCUUUGUUGAGUACAGAACAUCUUCAGGUGGCUAUUGAUAGACCUCAGCUAGGAGAUCAGUGAUUAAGACCGGAUUUCAAGGGUGACCCAUUUCUUUCAGGCUGUCAUGGAGUCUUUCUUAUUGUUUAGUCCAUUUCCUUCGGACUUAGACUAUUUAGAUACUUCUUAUGUAAGUUGGGGUUGUACCCUGUUUUCUUAGACUUGUUGCACUUUAUAUGUUUUGGUACAAUGACUUUCAGGUUCUAGGGGUUAAACUUUCGCGGUAGUUUGGUUAGUUAUUUAUUUAAACCUUAGGAGUUUAUGGGAACUCUAUAUAAUUUCUGCAUUUAAACCUGUUUCUAUAUCUUUAAAUGCCUAUAUUUUAAUUAAGUUGUGUGGUUGGGUUGUAGUAGUGGUUCUCCCACCGGAGGGUUAGUAUGGGCGAAUCACGACGAUCUGGGUCGUGACAAAGUUGGUAUCAGAGCCCUAAGUUCGUUGAUUUCCUUGUACCAAAAUGAGUCUAGUAGAGUCUUGCGGAAUGGUACAGAGACAUUUGUACCUUUCUUUGAGAGGCUACAUGACUUUAGGAAAUCACUUUGUUUCUACUAUUUUCGUGUUAUGACUUGAUUCCAAUUGGUAUCUGGUGAUCCAAAUUGGUAUUUAUCUUCUUCCAACUUAUGUUCGCAGAUGGUUAACACUCGUUUCAACGGCGUCAGGCGCAUAGCUCCCGUCAAUGAGUCAACUAAGGUCAUAUCUUCCAUUUGGGCUAGGAAACUGGUGGCGCUGGGGUGUUUGGCAUAUUUGGCUCUUAUUCAGGAUGUUGAGGUUGAGUCUCUCUCUCGAUUAAGUCUAUUCCAGUUUUAGAGAAGUGUUUCCUACUGAUUUGCCUUGUAUGCCUCCAGAUAGAUAUAUAGAUUUCUGUAUUGAUUUGGAACCUGAUACCCGCCCCAUUUCCGUUCCACCGUAUCACAUGGCUCCAGUGGAAUUGAGAGAGCUUAAGGCUCAAAUCCAGGAGCUUCUUGAUAAAGGGUUCAUUCGUCCUAGUGGUUCCCCAUGGGGUGCUCCUGUUUUGUUUGUUAAGAAAAAAGAUGGCAGUAUAAGGAUGUGUAUAGACUAUCGAUAGUUGAAUAGGGUCACCAUUCGAAAUAAGUAUCCGCUUCCUCAGAUAGAUGAUGUUUUUGACCAGUUGCAAGGUGAGUCAGUUUUCUCUAAGAUUGAUCUAAGGUCUGGUUACCAUCAUUUAAAGAUUAGGCCCGAGGAUGUACCAAAAACGGCAUUUAGGACCCGAUUGACCAAUACACCUGCAGCCUUCAUGAGUUUGAUGAAUGGCGUGUUUAAACCAUUCCUGGAUUCUUUUGUUAUUGUCUCUAUUGAUGACAUUUUGGUGUAUUCAAAGAGUAAGGAAGAGCAUGCUAACCAUCUUUGUAUAAUUUUGGGUGUCCUUGGGAAACAAAAGUUGUAUGCCAAACUUUCCAAGUGUGAGUUCUGGUUGGAUUCAACUAACUUCUUGGGGGAUGUAGUUUCAAGAGAAGGGGUAAUGGUAGAUCCCCAAAAGAUUGAAGCGGUUAAGAAUUGGGUCCGGCCUAGCUCUGUGACUGAAGUUAGGAGUUUUGUGGGGGCUCACUAGCUACUAUCAUCGGUUUGUGUAAAAUUUUACUUCUAUUGCCACACAUUUGACAAGGCUGACUAAGAAGGAGGUACCUUUCGAAUUGACCAAAAAAUGUGAAGAGAGCUUUCAAAAGCUCAAGACUCUUCUGACUACAACACAUAUUCUGGCACUACCGGUGAAAGGUAAAGAUUUCAUUAUUUAUUGUGUUGCUUCACAUUCGGGUUUGCGUGCUGUGUUGAUACAGGAUAAGAAUGUUAUAGCUUACGCAUCGCGGAAGUUGAAGGUGCAUGAGAGAAACUACUCGACACAUGAUUUGGAGUUGGCAGCGAUAAUGUUUGCUCUUAAGAUCUGGCGGCAUUACCUUUAUGGUGUCACGUGUAAGGUGUUUACUGAUAAUCGUAGUUUGCAACAUGUAUUCACUCAAAAGACCUAAAUCUGAGACAUCGAAGGUGGAUGGAGUUACUUAAACAUUAUGAUGUCACCAUUUAGUAUCAUCCGGGUAAGGCUAAUGUGGUGGCAGACGCACUAAACCGAAAGGCGGUAAGCAUGGGUAGUCUAGCUUGUUUGGGUGUAUCCAAGCGGUCGUUGGCCAAGGAUAUUCAGACUUUGGAGUCUAAGUUCAUGCAGCUGGGCAUCUCAGAGAAAUGUGGGGUGUUAGCUUGCAUUGAGGUUAGACCCACAUUCAUUGAGGGGAUAAUGGCCAAAUAGUUUGAGGAUGAGAAUUUGAAUGAGCUUAGAAAGAAGACAUUGUCUGGUAAGGCACAAGAUAUGGUUCUUGAUGCGGGAGGUGUGCUUAGUUUUAAGGGAAGAAUUUGUGUUCCCCGAGUGGAUGACUUGAUUCAGCAGAUGUUGACAGAAUCCCAUGGUUCACUGUAUUCCAUUUAUCCAGGUUUGACCAAGAUGUACCGAGAUUUGAAGCGAUUAUAUUGGUGGUUUGGUAUGAAGAAAGACAUAGCUGAAUUUGUGGCUAAGUGCCAAAACUAUGAGCAUCAAAGGCCUGCAGGCUUGCUUCAGAGAAUGCUAAUUUUGGAAUGGAAGUGGUAAAUGAUAGCUAUGGAUUUUGUGGUUGGUCUCCCCAAGACUUUGGGGAAGUUUGAUUCUAUUUGGGUAGUGGUUGACAGAUUGACUAAGUUAGACUCUUUUAUUCCAGUCAUAAUAGACUAUAAUGCUUAGCAGUUGGCUAAAGUUUAUGUGAAAGUGAUAGUGAGGCUGCACGGGGUGCCCUUUUCUAUCAUCUCAGACCGUGGUACGCAAUUAACAUUCAAGUUCUAGGGAAAUUGCAUGACGAGUUGGGCACUCAACUCAGUUUUAGUACAACUCUCCAUCCACAGAUGGAUGGGCAGUUAGAGAGAACGAUUCAAGUGUUAGAGGACACGUGUGAUUGAUUUUGGGGGACAUUGGGAUAAGUUCCUACCGUUGUGUGAGUUCUCCUAUAAUAAUAGUUUCCACUCCAACAUUGACAUAGCACCUUUCGAGGCACUUUAUGGGAGGGAAUGUAGAUCACCCAUAGGGUGGUUUGAGGCUAGAGAUGUGAAACCUUUGGGGUGGAUUUGGUGAAAGAUGCUCAGGAUAAAGUGAGAAGUAUCCAAGCUAAGCUUCUAACAGCCUAGAGUCGACAGAAAAAGUAUGCAGACCGUAAGGUAAGGACAUGGCCUUUCAGGCUGGAGAGCAAGUUCUUCUAAAAGUGUUACCCAUAAAGGGAGUAAUGCGAUUCGGUAAGAAGGGCAAGAUUAGUCCUCGAUACAUUGGUCCAUUUGAGAUUCUUGAGUAUGUAGGUCCAGUGGCUUAUAGAUUGGCCUUACCCCCUAGCUUAUCCGGAGUUCAUCUAGUGUUUCAUGUGUCCAUGUUGAAGAAGUAUCAUGGCAACAGAGAUUACAUCAUAAAGUAGGACUCAGUGGUGUUAGACAAAGACCUUCAGUAUGAAGAGGAAUCGAUUGCAAUUCUUGAUCAUGAUGUCCGAAAGACGAUUACCAAAGAGAUUAAGUCUAUGAAAGUUCAAUGGAAGCAUCGUCCAAUCGAGGAAGCUACUUGGGAAAUCGAGAAGGACAUGCGAGACAGUAUCCCCAAUUGUUCAACGAUUCAAGUACUACUCUACCCUUACUUUAGCCAGUCUUUCCUAGCUGAUCACUCGGGGACGAGUGAUGGGUAAACUGGUAUCUACUGUAACGACCUGUUUCUGUCGUUAGGGAAAAGCCAUUGGGGCCAAAAAACUUUUGAGUAGUGACUUGAAAAUUCCUAGCCUAGUCCAGAUUUGGACGAAAUCUGAGUUAUGUAGGUCUAGGGAAAUCUGGUAAUGAAUGAGAGAUUCAAUAAUGAAUUUGGUUACAUAAGUGGAUAUCGUAGACGUUAGAGAGCACGUACGGAUUUACGAAAUCAAAUUCGGGUGAGUAGAACUCCUAAAACCGACCUUAGUGUGAACGGGUAGUUUUGAAUGUCAAGGGUUGAAUGUGCGUUGUGAAAUGUGGGUUUGAAACUCUGAUUCCGAUGUUAUGUCUCCGCGCAAGCCACCAUGGCGGGAUUUAUUCCGCCAAGGCGGGGCCGCUGUGGCAGGAUGGGGUCCGUCAAAGCGGCCCAGUAGCGAAUUAAGUCGGGAUUAAACCCUAAAACGUUCUUAUUUUGCAAUUUUCGUUCUUGAGAGCUAAGAAACGACCUAGGGCAAGUUCUUGAUAGUUUUUCACCUCUUCUAGUGCGAAAGGUAAGGUUUUUACUCCCCUAAUCCAUUUUUCGAUCCGUAGAACUUAGAUUCUUGGGUGAUUAUUAUUGGGGGAGGGUUUUGACCUGAAACUAAUGGUGGAAAAAGCCCUAAGUUGGGUAUUGGGAUCUUGGGUUUGGCCUAGGGUUGAUAAUUUUGAUUGUAAUCCAGAUAAUUAGGCCUCGUUUGUUGAUCCUUGCAUUAAUUUGUUGUUUUUAGACCACGAACAAGUGGAAAGAAUUCGGAAAGGGAAGAUUCAAGUAUCUUAGGGGGGAUUCAAGCUUGGUUUCGAGGCAGGUGAUGGUUUGAUUUCAUGUUUGUGUGAUGUAUGUUGAUAAUUGCUUUAUUGUAAUCAUGUAUGUGAAUGAAACACUAUUGAUCAAACCUAAUUAAAUGAGUAUGAAUGAACAAGUGUAUGCCAUGAUUCAACACUUGAUUUUACAAUUAUGAGUAUGUACAUUAUGCGUGUAAAUAUGAUUGUGGUUGUGUUGAUUGGAUCGUGUGUCACAUUCCGACACACAUUGGAUCGGGUGUCACGUUCCGACACACUAAUUAGGAUCGGGUGUCACGUUCCGGCACACUAACAAUUUGGGUAUGGGUUCCAUGAGAGGACAAUUGAAUUGUCAUAGCUACUUGUUAUUGAGAAUGUGGAAUUGUACAUUGCUCCUGAAAUGAUAACCGGUGUAUAUAUAUUUUGUACAUGUCAUGUUUACUAUGUUGUGACUGCAUAUAUAUGUUUCACUUACUGCAAUAGCCGCGUGAUCCGACCAGUGUACUGUGGUUGUGUACUAUAUGACACUUUCUCAUUCUUUGUUGAGUACAGGGCAUCUUUAGGCGGCUAUUGAUAGACCUCAGCUAGGAGAUCAGUGAUCGAGACCAGAUUUCAAGGUUGAGCCAGUUCUUUCAGGCUGCCAUGGAGUCCUUUCUAUUUUUUAGUCCAUUUCCUUCGGACUUAGUAUAUUUAGAUAUUUCUUAUGUUAGUUGGGGUUGUACCCCGUUUUCUUAGACUUGUUGCACUUUAGAUGUUUUGGUACAAUGACUUUCAGGUUCUAGGGGUUAGACUUCCGCGUUAGUUUGGUUAGUUAUUUAUUUAAACCUUUGGAGUUUAUGGGAACUCUAUAUAAUUUAUGCAUUUAAACCUGCUUUUGUAUCUUUAAAUGCCUAUCUUUUCAUUAAGUUGUGUGGUUGGGUUGUAGUAGUGGUUCUCCCACCAGAGGGUUAGUGUGGGUGUCAAUCACGACGGUUUGGGUCAUGGCAAAGUUGGUAUCAGAUCCCUAGGUUCGUUGAUCUCGUUGUACCAAAACGAGUCUAGUAAAGUCUCUCAUAACGGUACGGAGACAUUUGUACCUUUCUUUGAGAGGCUAUAUGACUUUAGGAAAUCUCUUUGUUUCUACUCUUUUCAUGCUAUGACUUGAUUUCAAUUAGUCUCUAAUAUUCUUCCUACUUCUGUCCAUAGAUGGUUAACACUCAUUUCAACGGCAUCAGGCCCGUAGCUCCCGUCAAUGAGUCAGCUAAGGUCAUAUCUUUCAUUCGAGUUUGGAAAGUGGUGGGGCAUGGUUGUUUGGCAUAUUUGGCUCAUAUUCGGGAUGUUGAGGUUGAGUCUCCCUCUAUUGAGUCUAUUCCUGUGGUAUCAGAAUUUAGAGAAGUGUUACCUACUGACUUUCAGGUUUUAGGGGUUAAACUUUCACGUUAGUUUGGUUAGUUAUUUAUUUAAACCUUUGGAGUUUAUAGGAACUCUAUAUAAUUUCUGCAUUUAAGCCUGUUUCUGUAUCUUUAAAUGCCUAUCUUUUUGUUAAUUUGUGUGGUUGGGUUGUAGUUGUGGUUCUCCCACCGGAGGGUUAGUGUGGGUGCCAAUCACGACGGUCUGGGUCGUGACAGAGAUUAAGUGUUGGUGCCACUCAUGACUCAUUUUGGGUCGUGACAAACUGACUAAUCCAAAAUACAAAAUGAGAGUCAGUACAAAAAGAAGGACAACAACAAGUCUCUGAAUGUCAAGAGCUCACCUUAAAUAUGAGUCUAUGACCGCCACGGGAGAUCCAACGCUCACUGAGGGUGGCUCGAACUGGGAGCUGCAUCAGAAAAAAGAUGCAAAAAUGCAGUAUGAGUACCAAAACACGGUAUAUUCAAUUGCCAUCAUAGACCGACCGAGCUCAGAAAGAUCAAAUAUGUAUAUAAGAAGCUUGAUGAUACUAGCAAGUGAAGGGAGCUAAGACACACUAACCUUAUGAUAGAGAACAAGCAGAAAAUAUCAAGUUUCAAUCACAAGUUACACACAAACCACAAGACAAUCAACAUAGUCAAAGGCCAACUCACACGAUGAUACAAUGUAAAACUUCAAGUAGGAAGAGCCAUAAGACCGCAAGAAACAUUGAGCCGCCUAGAAUGAUACCUCAAGCUUAACUGAAUGUCAAUAAUACGGAUAGAUGUAUUCACGGGCCGCCGACAAUGACUCGUCGAGCUUACCCAUAAUUAGGAUAUAUGUAUCAACGGACCGUCCGAGAUGAUACUUCGAGAUUAUAAACAAUGUAAAUCUAAAUAAUAGAUUGUAGCCUGAGCCUAAGCCAAUAGGCCGCUUGGAAUGGUAUAUCGAGAUCAUUGGAGUAAAAGCAUUUGAAAGGUGCGUAAAUCAAGAAAAAUCGGGUUUUUUCACUGAUUUUAGGGUAAACUGGGUCUCAAGAACUUCCAACUCAUUAAGAACAAAUUCAAUUCACAAACCAAGUCAUUUCCGUUGAAAAUUGUUCAGGUAAUAAAUCCUCAAAAAUACUAUCACAAUCAAACAUGCCAUACACACAGAUCCGGGUAGGAUACCCGUCACACCACGAGAGUACUAACCUGGAACUCCUACCAAUCCAAGCUUACGGCCUCAAGCCCAACAAUUUAAUAGACUAUCAAAUAUCACAACUCAAGGAUCCACACCACCUUAUAUCUAUAUUAUUUUUCUUUAUUUCUAAAAUUGGGUAACACCUUUCUAAAUGGUUAUAAGAACACUUUUAGCAUAUUAACUAAUAUUUUUUUCUUUAAUCUUUGAAAAUUUUCAAACAUGUCACAUUGAAAUUUUCUAACAAAAAAAUUAUCACCAUUAUUUUUUAAAAAUAAUUAAAUCAAAUGUUUAUAUUAAAACAAGUAGUAGUGGAUGAUAUAAUAUACCAUCAACGAGUUUAAUCGGUCUCAAUACCUUCGAUGUGAAAUAUAGCUCUAUGUAUAUAUAUAACUCCAAACAUUGCAGCAAAAUGCAAGUACCAUUUAUAUUUCCUUCCGAAUUUUCAAUUUUCUACCUCUUAGUUACAAUUAUUGGGAAACCCCAAGUUAAUUUUUUUUGUUGGUUUAAGAUAUUUGGAUCCUUACAAUUUCAGCGCAUUCUUAAUCCAAUUACACUUGUUAACAUUAUUGUGUACAUUUAUUUUUGGUCGGAAAAAGAUGGAAAAUAUUGCAGGAUGAAAAACGGACAAUGAAUUGUUGGGGAGAGUUGCUACAACCGUCUAAGUAAACAUCUCCCGUCCCAAAUUAUUUGUCAUAUUUUAUUUUUUAAAGUCAAUUUGAUUAAUUUUUGGAGUUAAAUAACUUUAAAUUAAAAUUUAUAUUCAAAACUAUAUAAAAGUACUAGAAUCUUAAUUUUUCUCAUCUCAAUAUGAUUUAAUUUUUUUUUUAAUCUUAGAAUACUAGUUAAAGCUCAUGUAGUUUAAUAUUAAAAAACGAAACUUGACAAAGUGUUGACAAAUAUUUUGAGAUGGAGAAAAUAUUUAACUUGAAUUUUCUUGGAAUUUGGGGGUGGAUGUUUACCAAUUUUCUAAGUCUUGACUUGAACAAUGAAUUUAAUUAAACAAAAAAGGCAUAAAAAAUAGAAUUGGUUGUAUAAAAAAAGGAAAUAAAAAACUGAUCCAGCAAAUUUUUCGGGUACAUACUUACUGCAAAUAAGGAAAAUAAAAUAGAAAACUAAAUUGGUGUCAAUCUGUAUACCAAAAGGUUUCUAAUUCGAGUCUCCUUGGAUAUGGAGGGACACAAAUUCAGAUUUAGUCAGGCUUCAAUGUGGGUACCGAAACCAAAACAAAUAUUUAGUUAAAAAGUAGAUGUAAUCCAUUAAAUAACAAUAGAAAUAUUUGAUAAUUUAAUUCUAGAAAUUAAAGUAACUAAAAUAAAUGUACUACUAAUUACCACUAGAAAAAUUUCUUAUUCUCCAAUAUAUGCGUGUGGAUAUUCAGGCGUAUCAAAGUAAUCCGAUUCUUCAUCAGUCAAGGCUUUUGUAACAUCUCGUUAUUUGAAAGGACUAGAAAGAGUUAGAAUUGGAAAGAGCCAGUUUAGGAAAGAAUGAAAAAUCUGGAAAUUUGUUAAGUUAAGGUACGUUGAGUUUUUGGGUCAAAUUCAAACGACCAUAACUCCUAUCUUAGGAUGAGUUAGGUGUGCUUCCAGAUAACGUAGGAAAUAUCUUGGAAUUAUCUUUCCAACGCCACUGAGUUUGCGUUAUUCCAAGUUCGUAUGAGUGAGAUAUGCCCAUUUGAAGUUGGGUUGUUGAAAUAAGGAAAGUCUAAUCCGGAUUUUGGAAGGGUAGUUUGGUCUUUUCCAUACCCAAUUAUUUUAUUUCAUUUUUAGGAGCUUAAGUGGGGUCAAAUCUGAAUUAAAUCAGUUUUACGCAUUUACCAAAACAUGCUAGGGCUUGGAGAAAAGAGAAGAAAGGUUCAAGAUUCGUCCAUAUCGUGCAAUUUUAGUUGUGGAUUUCACCAAGGAUUCAAUCCCACGAGGUAUGUGAGACUUUCAUAGCGUUGGGUUCGUUCACCCAUGUGCCAAUCAUAUUUGUUUCAGCAAAAUUCGUUUCUAGAAAGUUGAUAGUAUGAUGUUCUUGAAUUAUGUUCUUGAAGUUUGCUUUAGUUCUUGAGAUUUGAUGGGAUUGUGGAGUUCUUGAUGGAAUCGUGUCGAUUUAAGAGUUUUUUUGAGUUAGAUUCUUGUGUAUAUAUAUGGGGUAUUUGAAUAUAUAGAGGGAUUGAGAAAAAGAAUUGGAUUUAGGUGAAUUGGGGUGAGAAAACGAAGAAGGAAAGAGUCGAGCAAGUUUUGGCACGCAAGUCUGCGUCGCAGACUUGCUCCCCCAGUGCAAAAAAAUCUCCGCGUCACGGAAAAGAUGCGGACUCCUCUGUUUCAAAAAUAAAUUUCGCGAUCAAAUAUUUAAAUGCAUCUCCGCAUUGCGGACUUGUUUUCAGACAAUGAUUUCUUGAUCGUUUCUCAUGUUUAACUAUCUAAAAACACUCCUAAACAUCAUGAGAUCUUUCCUAUCNNNNNNNNNNNNNNNNNNNNNNNNNNNNNNNNNNNNNNNNNNNNNNNNNNNNNNNNNNNNNNNNNNNNNNNNNNNNNNNNNNNNNNNNNNNNNNNNNNNNNNNNNNNNNNNNNNNNNNNNNNNNNNNNNNNNNNNNNNNNNNNNNNNNNNNNNNNNNNNNNNNNNNNNNNNNNNNNNNNNNNNNNNNNNNNNNNNNNNNNNNNNNNNNNNNNNNNNNNNNNNNNNNNNNNNNNNNNNNNNNNNNNNNNNNNNNNNNNNNNNNNNNNNNNNNNNNNNNNNNNNNNNNNNNNNNNNNNNNNNNNNNNNNNNNNNNNNNNNNNNNNNNNNNNNNNNNNNNNNNNUUGUUUUAAAAACAUAUGAGCUAAGUAUAUUUUGGGAGUAGUAUUGAGCACCGAUAUGGGGCUGCAAGUUCAUAAUAACUCAAGUCUCCAUAAACCAUGUAGCCAUCAUGGUUAGUAAAGGAUCAUACUUUUUAGACGACUCCUUAAGUUGCUUUUUAGCAUAGACUAGUAGAUCCACUUAGCUAAGCGUUCUAUAUGACGGCAAAGUAUAAGACAUUUCUGGCAGCAUGGGCAAGACGUUGUAUCAUCCCUUAGGCUCAUAGUGGUGGUUGUUGAUUAGAGAAACUCCCACAGUAUUAUAUUACUUUAUACGUAACUUGAGUUGUUAUUGUAUUUCUUUAAUACAUUGAGUUGUCAUCUACUAUUUUAAAUGUUUUAUAUAAACUGCACCUUUAUUGUUGUUUUUACUUCGCAUUUGAGUUGAGUAUUCAUAAGUUGAGUAAAGCUAAGGUAAGUGUUCCUUUCAGAUUCCUUUCAAGCUUAUGUUAUGUUUAGUUUUCCCUUCGCAUUCUCGUACAUUCAAUGUACUGAUGACAUUUGGCCUGCAUCAUUUUAUGAUGCAGACACAAGUAACCAGGAUUAGCAUCCAGCGCCUCAUUGAUCCAGUUGAGCACUCAGAGUCAGUUGGUGAGCCUCAUUGCUUUCCGGAGGGUCCCUCAUUAUCUUGUUUUUAGCAUUUCAGUUGUUAGGAUGAUCGGGGUCUUGUCCCGACAUCCCUCAUUGUUUUAGAGGCUUCAUAGAUGAGUAGUUAUAAUUCUUUAGUCUUUCCGUUUUUAGUUGUAUAUGUUAAGACUUGAGUUGCUAUUUUGGCUAGUUUAAUAUUUCUUAAAGAUAUUGCAUGAGUUGUCCUUUGAGACUAUUUCCUAUUAUUUAAGUCUUUCGCUAUAAGUUAAGCCAGGUCAAGGGUUCUGUAAUGACCCUCCAGGUCAUUUCAGUGUCUUGCCUUCUGUGUGUCGUUUAGAGUGUUCCUGUAGCGAUCCCAAGUCAUUUAUGACUUGCUGGGACUGACAGUUCGGUCACCUGGUUGUUCGUUUGGUUUUGGUGCGAGAUUUUGUGUUUUGGAGCUUAUGAACCUUGAACGAUCAUUUUCGAUCAAAAGUUCAAGAAGAUGACAUCGGAAUCCAAUUUUGACAAUUUCAACAGCUCCGGAAGGGUCAUUUAAGGCUAGUAGUAUGGUCGACAUGACUCCCGGGGUUUUAAGUGUGAGUCGGGGCGAUUAGGCGUUUUAACUUUAAGUUUAAGCCUAAGUUUGACUUUGGUCAACAUUCUGAGUAAACGCGCUCGGAUGAGAAUUCUGUCAGCGCGGUAAGCUCUAGAAUGUCGAGUUUGGUCUGGAACGACCUUUCGUUCGACUCCCGAGGCCUUCGGACUCAUUUCGAGCCCCUUAGUGGAUUUUGGUUAAAAAUGGCAUUUGGAAGUGGGACCCACUUUUUAUCGAGAUGACCUCGGAUGGAAAUUUUGACUGUGCCGUUGAGUUUGGAAUAUCAAAUUUAGUAGGGUAGCAUAUCUGUUUUAUUUUUAUCGGGUACCGAACGAAUUCCGAGCACCCCGUCGGAGACUUUGAAGAUUUAGCCAAAGCUGAGAUCUGGUGCAGCUCUUUAGCGACCAGAGUUUGGGCCUUUAACGACCAGAUGUUGGGUUUAGCGACCAGUUUCGCCCUUUUUAAAACCCCAACUUAGCUUUAUUCNNNNNNNNNNNNNNNNNNNNNNNNNNNNNNNNNNNNNNNNNNNNNNNNNNNNNNNNNNNNNNNNNNNNNNNNNNNNNNNNNNNNNNAAAGUUGUGAGAUUUUUUGAGGACAACUGGUUGGUGAGCUCGGAAUCUGAUUUGGGGUCCCCGUUCGAGGUAAAUUUCACAAAAUACCUGCUGUCACGACCUCCUUUUUGUGAGCUUGAUGUUGGGAUAUUUGAGACUUGUUUUCUCAUUCAUUUUAGGUCCGAUUUCAGCGAUUCUUGAGUCCAUUUUGAGUGGUUUUUUGAGGAGAACAUUGUGGUGUUGUCAGAAUUUACUGUAGACCGCUCGUUUCUAGUAAAUAUGUUGAAUUAGCUGAUGUCCCAUUUCUUUAGUUCUUGAGGAAAAUUUGGGUUUUGGUUGUAUGUUGGUAUUGUGUUGUUUCUAAGUCCCGAAUUGUGUCCCAUAAUGGAACACAAGUUUGGGGAGCUGUUAAGAACCUACUUUUGGGGUAAUUCCAAAAUUUUCAGCGCGGGUCCCACAAUUCCCGUUUUGACCCCUAAAUUAACUCGUCUCCGUUUGUUGUGAUUUUGGUGUCUAAACGACCGUACUAACGUUGUGACCCUAUAUUUGAUAGAGUGACAGCGUUCAAAGGUUGUUCGGGAAGGAAAAGCUCCAGUAAAGUGAUUUGGAGAGCGCGCGAUCGGCCUUAAGGUAGGCUACGGCUUCCUUUCUUUUAGAUUUAGCUUAAUUGUGUAAAAACAUGUCAAUUGGAGUGAAUUGGGGGUGGGUACCAGUUUACUACCUUACUUUGAUUAGACACCUUAUGUUAGGAUCGAUUGGCCACAUUUCGGGUAUAGUAUCAUGUUAACCAGUUUAGUAGAGUUGCAUGCUUAUGUGCUAAAUGCUAUUGUAUGCUUGUAUGCUAUGCAUUGCAUGCCUUAUUCAUCCUUAACUGUAAGCAUGAUGUCCUUAGUCUAGGUUAGACUAGCAUUGCCUUAGAUUUAUGACCCGUGUGGGCUGGAUAGCCUUGACUUGCUGUCGAUGUCGUUCGGAUGACUUAGCUCCUUGUAGACUAGAAUAGCAAACUUGAGUCUGAUAGUUUGAGCCUUAGAUUAGGCGUUAUCGCUACUUGCUGCACUUCUGUAUCUUCUCCCUCUCAUUCUGCGGUUCCGACGCAUUCUCGAAGGUUUGGUGCAUCACUCGAGGCGUGAGAUUUAGAUAGUAUAGACUUGGAGCCUUUUCCGUGAUGUCUUAGAGUGGACGACGUUCCACGGUGGUUGUUGUUGGAUUAAAUCCUAUUGGAGAUACCAUCACCCCCGGGGUCGUUCUUUCUAGCUGGGCUGGGAACGUAUCGCUGGCUAGGUAGACUCGGUGAUAUCGGUGAACGCCCCCGGGCCUCUCUUUCUGGCUGGGCUGGGAGUGUGCUGCUGGCUGGGUGUCCCCGGGUCGCUCUUUCUAUCUGGGCAGGGAGCUGGCUGCAUGGUAGGACGACUCGCGAUAUCUAUCUCACUCACGGGUCCCUCUUUCUAGCUAGGCUAGAAGUGGACUGUUUGGUUGGGUGCCCCCUAGGGUCACUCUUUCUAGCUGGGNNNNNNNNNNNNNNNNNNNNNNNNNNNNNNNNNNNNNNNNNNNNNNNNNNNNNNNNNNNNNNNNNNNNNNNNNNNNNNNNNNNNNNNNNNNNNNNNNNNNNNNNNNNNNNNNNNNNNNNNNNNNNNNNNNNNNNNNNNNNNNNNNNNNNNNNNNNNNNNNNNNNNNNNNNNNNNNNNNNNNNNNNNNNNNNNNNNNNNNNNNNNNNNNNNNNNNNNNNNNNNNNNNNNNNNNNNNNNNNNNNNNNNNNNNNNNNCGGUGAUUAGUUCCAGCCUUCUUUUGCAGCUGUGUUUCGGAGACGAGGGCGAGCACUUGGCGUUUUGGGUUUGUUCUGUCUCCUUCUUUUGUUUUAGCUAGUCUUGUUGCCUUUGAGACACGCUCUGUUGUGGUCCACUUUUGGGACUUGUACUCUUUAUUAGAUAGCUCUGUACUAGUGACUUCUAGGUUCUGGGAGGGAUUUCUGUAUAUAUUUAUUUUGGGUUGCUUCCACCUUGUUAUUCUUGUUUAGAUUAUUGUUUUCGCUAGUUCUUCCCUUUCGCUCAUUGCUUGAUGUUCUGGGUUACGGGUUGCCUUACCUACUGGUAGGGUAUAGUAGGUGCCAUCAUGACUCGAGAAAUCGGGUCGUGACAGGUUCUCUUGGGGACAACAAUUUUUCUCGAGUGCCAGUCACGCCCAGGGUGUAGGCUCAGGGUGUGACAACUUUAAACGGUUCAUCCAAUAAUGGUAGCUGCCAAUUUUCUGCAGAAUAUAACCGUCCAUCAUGAUCUCUCAGUGAAUUUCAGACACAAUCAGGAACUAUAUUCUCGAUUGUUAUAGGAAUAUCUUGAUGAUUUUUGCAUAAACUGACUUUUUUAUAAUGAAACACACAACAAAGUCUUCAUGUCUGAUUUCUCUGCGUUUUCUUAAUACAUCCCUUGUAGUUUUAUCAAGACAUUAUUCUUUCACAAUCGAGUACACACUUUCUUUAUCUUCACUGCUACUUUCUUCAUCAAAACGAAAAGUUUUUUUAUACCCAAUUCGUGAUCUUUCCUUGUCCAAAAUUUCUUUACUAUUGUCUCGUCCUUUCCAUUUGGGACCUCCAACAAUUGAUUUGUUGAAGUUUUUACCCUUGAUCGUUUUUCUCUUCAAUUGAGUAAAGAAAUAGUUUACAUGAUCAUUACCUAAAUUUUGGAAUAAGUCAGCUGGCUCUUUGUUACCGUAUAAGUUUAUAUACGGAAUGUCAUGGUAUUCUAUAGGCAUUCCACGAAUGAAUUUCGUUAAACACCUUAUCAGAUCUUCAUCCAUAUAUUUCAUCCUCAUAAGUUGAAAAUUAUGUGAAUUCCAACUUAAAAGAUACAAAACAAAGAAGAUGGAGAAAUAUUUUAAAGCAAAGAAAAUACAUAUAGAGUGUAUUUCCUAAUUUGUGUAGGAAAUUAAUUGUAGUUGUAAAAAUAAAUUUGAAAAUGUUAACCUUAUUGGAAUGGAAAACUAAUUGGAGUUGUAAUUUAUUUUUGGAAAACUUAACCUUAUUCAAAUAGAAAACUAAUUGGAGUUAUAUUUUUCUGCCCCUUGAUUUGAGUUUAUGCCUCAAAAACAGCACGCGUUUGCCAAUAAUAUUUAUUUGCUAGAUUUGACGAGAAUUAUGAAAAGAAGAAAAUUAGUAGAAACUUAUAUGUAGAGGUCAAAUAGUAUUUGUAAAUUUUGCUAUUUUUAGUACUCCAUAUGAUAGUAGUAACUAUUGGCGUGUAAUUUCUAUUAUUUUAAUUUAAUAUUUAUUUACCUUUAAAUUUAUAACUUAGGAUAACAAAUAAAAUUGUGUUUAACGUUCAAGAUUAUACGGAUUAUUAAAACGAGACAAUAUUUUACUGAUGCUUUAUGACUUGUGAUAAAAAUAAUCGAAAUAAUUAAUUAAAAUAACAGUGAGUUGUAAAGCAAAAUAAGCAAAAGUAAAUAUUAUUGAGUUAUCUCAAGCGAAAUCAUUAUGAAGAAAGUAAAAGUGCAUACAAUAUUUGUGAUUAAAAUCAGAUAUCUUGUCAGUGAGGAAAAGAGGAGGAGGGAACCUAAAUAAGCCACAAAAAUAUAAAAGUGACCAAAAUAAGCCACUACUUUAGGAAGUAACUAAAAUAGGCUUAAUGGAAGAAAAAAUUUCACUUUAUCUAAUAUUCUAAACGUUUUCUGUUAGUCUCAUAACGUGUAUAUUUUAAUAUAUAACGGAAUUAUUUCCUACACUUUAUAAAAUGGAACUAUUUCUUACACUUUAUAAAGUGUAAGUUUUUCUUACACUUUGUAAAGUGGAACUUUUUCUUACACUUUAUAAAGUGGAANNNNNNNNNNNNNNNNNNNNNNNNNNNNNNNNNNNNNNNNNNNNNNNNNNNNNNNNNNNNNNNNNNNNNNNNNNNNNNNNNNNNNNNNNNNNNNNNNNNNNNNNNNNNNNNNNNNNNNNNNNNNNNNNNNNNNNNNNNNNNNNNNNNNNNNNNNNNNNNNNNNNNNNNNNNNNNNNNNNNNNNNNNNNNNNNNNNNNNNNNNNNNNNNNNUUAUUCUGAAAAAUCCUCCAAUCUCUAUUUAAGGAGGACGUUCAAACAUAGUUAAUAGCACCUACAACAUAAAGUCUUCUAUAUUUGUUCAUUUCAAUCACAAAAAAAAUGUCUUCUAAACCAAAAGUUAGAGUUUCGAUUUAUUGGGAUGGCGAAAUUAUACAUGACGGAAAUAUCGUUUAUUAUAAUUAUCCUCCCAAACACAAUUCUAAAUAUUCAAUUAAUGUCCGAUAUCAUAAAUUUCUUUCAUCAAUUUAUAAAAGAAUGAGUAUAAAUAGGACUGUUUAUAAUUUGAAUAUAGUCGAAAAAUACCCUACUUCAUUUUUAUCACAAGGACAAGUAAAUUUUGGAGAGUGGAUUAUCUAUAAUGACGAAUCGUGACCGACUUUUUGAGGGUUCCAGAUGACUACAUAGAUCAAAUCAAGUUAACAAUACUUGAAAUCUAUGUUAGGAAGGAGCCUAAGACUAGUCAACAACGUUCUCCUUUAUCGAUCGAUGUUCAUCCUCGAUUAGAAAAUCAUAAUAGCGUUGAUGGAUUUCCGAUAACUCAAUCUACUGAUUUUNNNNNNNNNNNNNNNNNNNNNNNNNNNNNNNNNNNNNNNNNNNNNNNNNNNNNNNNNNNNNNNNNNNNNNNNNNNNNNNNNNNNNNNNNNNNNNNNNNNNNNNNNNNNNNNNNNNNNNNNNNNNNNNNNNNNNNNNNNNNNNNNNNNNNNNNNNNNNNNNNNNNNNNNNNNNNNNNNNNNNNNNNNNNNNNNNNNNNNNNNNNNNNNNNNNNNNNNNNNNNNNNNNNNNNNNNNNNNNNNNNNNNNNNNNNNNNNNNNNNNNNNNNNNNNNNNNNNNNNNNNNNNNNNNNNNNNNNNNNNNNNNNNNNNNNNNNNNNNNNNNNNNNNNNNNNNNNNNNNNNNNNNNNNNNNNNNNNNNNNNNNNNNNNNNNNNNNNNNNNNNNNNNNNNNNNNNNNNNNNNNNNNNNNNNNNNNNNNNNNNNNNNNNNNNNNNNNNNNNNNNNNNNNNNNNNNNNNNNNNNNNNNNNNNNNNNNNNNNNNNNNNNNNNNNNNNNNNNNNNNNNNNNNNNNNNNNNNNNNNNNNNNNNNNNNNNNNNNNNNNNNNNNNNNNNNNNNNNNNNNNNNNNNNNNNNNNNNNNNNNNNNNNNNNNNNNNNNNNNNNNNNNNNNNNNNNNNNNNNNNNNNNNNNNNNNNNNNNNNNNNNNNNNNNNNNNNNNNNNNNNNNNNNNNNNNNNNNNNNNNNNNNNNNNNNCUAUCUUGGUCGCAAGCGUGCUUUUGAAAAAGUCUAUGGUACUUGGGAGGGUUCUUUUGCCGAGUUGCCGAGGUUCAUGGAAGCUUUGAAACACUUCAAUCCCGGAACAAUAGUUGAAUGGAAAACAGAGCGGCGUGUCGAUGUCAUUGAAGAUGUAUUCAACUAUGUGUUCUGGACUUUUAAAUCAUGCAUUGAUGGGUUUGUGUUUUGUCGUCCUGUUAUAUCGAUCGACGGAACACAUGUCUAUGGAAAAUAUGAUAUCAAGUUGUUGAUUGCGAUUGCAACGACUCAAUAUUACCUUUGUCAUUUGCAAUAGUUGCGAAUGAGAGCAUGGAGACAUGAAGUUUAUUUUUGGAUAAUUUACACUUGCACGUUGUCAAGGGUCGUAGAGAUGUAGCAUUGAUUUCAGAUAGGCAUUACGAAAUACUCUCAUCCGUGUAUAAUUCUCCCAAUUGGCAGGCCCCAUUUGGGAUCCAUCGCUUUUGCUUAAGACAUUUAAAGGCCAAUUUUCAAAAAAAAUCAAAAAUGUUACUUUGAACAACCUUUUGUGGGCAGCUGCAAAUCAUUGUCAGGAGAAAAAGUUUUUGAAAAAAAUGGAAAUGAUCAAAGAGAUUAACCCGGAAGCGUAUGUGUGAUUAAUGAAGAACGAUCUUGUCAAAUGGACAUUGCACAGGGAUGGAGGUAGGAGAUGGGGAAUGCUGACAACAAAUAGUUCUAAGUCAUUCAAUGGUCUUCUUAAGUCAGCCAGGGGCCUGUCAGUUACUGCAAUGGUAAGACUCACUUACAAUCAGAUUGUGAACCGAUUUGUUACAAGAUCAAAAUUUGUCAAUCAGCUAGUACAACAAAAGCAACAAUGGAUGCCUAAACCAUUCAAGAUUUUUGAGGAUAAUCGAAAAAAGUCACAGCGUCACACACUUAUCAACUAUCACCAACAAAGGGAAAACAUAUUUGAGGUGCAGACACAUAUGCAUCAUGGCUGUGGUGGUAAUAAGCACAUUGUAAAUGCAUCACAAGGAAAAUGUCAAUGUGGUAAAUGGCAAUCAUACCACAUUCCGUGUUCUCAUGCAAUAAAGGGAUUUGACCAAAUUGGGUAUCAAGCAUGGGAGCAUAUGGCACCAGAAUUCUGCGUGCAUAGCUACAAAAAAGCCUACUCUGACAAUUCAAUCCACUCGGCGGUGAAAAGUAUUGGCCUAAUAGCCCUUUUCUUAUGAUAGCAAAUAAAAAUAUUUACAAAAAGUGGGCGUAAAUAAAAUCACCCGUAUACAUAAUGAAAUGGAUGUUCCCGCAAGUACACUCACUCGCAAGUGCUCAACGUGCAAACAAAUAGGCCAUGAUAGGUGCAACUGUCCUUCACGAGCUCGAAACGCCUCAUAUGGUGGUAGUAGCUAAACAAAGAUGUUUAACUUUGUUAAUUUAUUCUUGUAUCAAUUUCUAUGCAACUUUUUAUUCGUAUUUUGUAUCAUUCUCUAGUCAUGUUUAUAUUUUCAAUUUAUUUCAUUCACCUUUUUAAAAAAAAUUACAUACACAAAAUAAUAACUAUAUAUAAUUAAAAUAAUAAUACUAUUCACCCUCAAAAAAAAUACAUACACAAAAAUAAUAACNNNNNNNNNNNNNNNNNNNNNNNNNNNNNNNNNNNNNNNNNNNNNNNNNNNNNNNNNNNNNNNNNNNNNNNNNNNNNNNNNNNNNNNNNNNNNNNNNNNNNNNNNNNNNNNNNNNNNNNNNNNNNNNNNNNNNNNNNNNNNNNNNNNNNNNNNNNNNNNNNNNNNNNNNNNNNNNNNNNNNNNNNNNNNNNNNNNNNNNNNNNNNNNNNNNNNNNNNNNNNNNNNNNNNNNNNNNNNNNNNNNNNNNNNNAACGACAGUGGUGGCAAAGUGGUCUGCAAAUAGAAAGUUAGAUAGUAGAAAUUGAAAAUUAAUUGACAAAAUAAGAAAUCCAUCUUUAAAGGGAUCCAACAAUACAACAAUAAAUCCAAGCACACCAACUCUAUAUAUUCGUAUGCUUCAUUCUCUAUACAGUCUUGACCUACGUAAGAUCUCCUCAACACGUCCAUGAGGUCGAUGCAAACGAAAUAAAUUCCAAGCAUCAUUCAUGUGCACCGUCCUCAUAAGGCUACUAAAUGAUAUCUCACCUUUCCAUAACAAUUCUGAUUUAUGCUCAUGCUGAGAGAGAAGAAGUGUACGAUCAAUUGGUCCAGGAUUCACAACAUGCUCCAUUAUAUUCUAUAAGAAAAAUUCUAUUAAUUCAUUUAAUAUAAUUAUAUCUUGAAAAAUUAAACCGUGAACUAUCUUCAAACGAAUAAUUGUAUGAGAACUAAAGAAUCUCUAACUUCAGCAAGUCAAUUAAAUAUGUUAUUUGUCGAGUCAACCACAAGAAAAAAAAUAGAAAAAAAAAAGAUACUGUGAGCACUUUUUUUUUUAUAGAGAAUAACUUUUCACAUCCUUGUCAAGAAAUAAGCUAGAAUAGUAGUUGUGAAAGCUAUAGUGUAUUAACUACAUGCUGCUGCUGCUUUUGGCUUGAAAUGAGUAAUGUUCUAACAGCAAUUUUGGUGGCUUAUGGCUUAAAGUUAUUUUGCUUUGAAAUUUGACAAUUUAUAAGUUUCAUUAUGUUCAUUACAUGUGCUUUCAAUUUGAGACUUGAUAGUGAUGGUAAAGAUGACCUCCAAGAAUAUCAUUAACGAUGGAAUAGAUGUGGGAUUUUUUACAAAGUCAACUAACACUGAUAUAAUUUUUACUCAUAUCUCAUAGACUCAAACUAUUAUUGUGCUAUUAUUUGGGGGGGAAUUCAAACAAAUUGUACUUUAUUUUAUAUGAGAUGACUUUCACCAUUAUCUUGUAUUUGAAGUGAUGUCUAGGAUGACUCAUGAACUAGUGAAUGCAUAUUGCAAUUCAUCGAACCAACGUAGGUAUGAUAAAUUGAUCAAUUCAUUUUAGUGAUUUCUUAUUUUCAACCUUAGUUUUGUCUCUGUUUUUUUGCCAUUACUUUGUGAUUGGAACUUCUUAUUGCACUAUCUCUUUAGGUUUCCCUUUCAUUCAGUAAUGUGUGAAGGGACCAAGAUGAUAUCUUCAAUCUAUUAUUGGGUUAGGUCCAUUAGUCCUUUAAGUUGUUCUACUCUUUUUUUUUGUUUUCCACUUCCUCUUAUUCAAUUGCAUAUUAGAUUUGUCUGUUAUGGCUCUUUCGAAAGUUGAUUACAUAGACAAUUUUUAUUUCCAUCUCAUAUUUUUUUAUGUUUCUUUUUUGGAUGUGAUUUUGAUUUUGAAGCUUCCUCCACUUUUGACGUUUCCUACAACUAAUGUGGCAUUUGGAGGUAUGGUCUUAACUAAGUCUUUAUGAUGAAUGCACAACUGACCAAGUUUUUACUUUAUAUUUUUGUAUUGGUGUGAAUGCUCUUGUAUAAAAUACUUAUAUUCCAUCUUCCCUCUUUUUUCAUUCCACAACUCUUGAUAUCUAAAGUUUCUAUUAUAAUUCAAUUUUAAUUAUACUAUAAAAUCACAUUCUAACUCCAUGAGGUAGGUGUAAUAUCUACGUAUAUUCUACCCUCCCUAGACCUCAGCUGUCAUUCUAUUACUCUUGUUGUUUUUUUAUAAAAUCACAUUCUAAGAAAUUCAUUCAUCAGUUGAAUAUAUAAAACAUAUCCCUGUGUUCUCAUUAGCUGAAUAUCUAAAACUUAUCCUUGUAUAAUGUGUUAAAUUUUUCCUAAUUCAAGGUUUUUGUCGAAUCUUAAUUCUCAUAUGUCUUUCUAUGCAAGACUGCUCUGAACCUACUGUUGCCAAAUUAGGACAAGAUCUUAAACCUGUUAUGGUUUAUGGGUGAGUAUUCCCUUGCUUAAGUCAUUGUGUAUUUGCUUUAAGUAUUCUCAAUUGUAUACCAAUCUCGAACUUAUUAGUUCUGUUUAAUCACCUUAUUUUUAGGUAUUUACCAUUAUAGUUUAUGCUUAGCAUAAGAAAAUCUUAUUGCAUGAUUGCAUAAUGAUCCAAAAGUUGGCAAUAUUGGUUUGUAAUUAUUUAACUAUAUUCUCCACUUAGCAAAAUUACUCUUUUUAUUGUCUAUAAGCUUUUUUCUCUCCCCGUCCCCUAUUUCUUUUUCCGUAACUUGAUCUAUUUUGGUCUAGUUAACAUAUAUUUGUACCUGAAGUACAUCAGCAAAAGUUCCUAUAACAGAUUUUUAUUUUAGGGGAUUAGAAACGUAAAUGUCUAAUACUUUUGGUAGUAUAAUUUGUAGCAAAUGAGUAAUGAAGCUAAGUUCCAACUUAUUUCUAAUCUAUUAUACUUUUGAAAUUUUGAACAAACAUCAUUUUAAAGUAAUGAAAAUAUGAGAUGAAAAAAAAUACCUAAUUUAUAUAAUUUGUAGGGUCGGAUUGUUAUGUUGUCGGGUUGUGCUACUCCAAUCUUUCAAGAUUUUGAUUUUGUAGUGUAGGGCCGCUUCAGUUGUCGGAUUGGGACCAUCAACUGUUAAUCUUCAUUCUGAAAAAAGUUUGGAAGCCAUGAAAGUGAAAGGGGAGAAGAAGAAAGUGAAAAGGUAAAUUCUGAAAAAAGUUUGGANNNNNNNNNNNNNNNNNNNNNNNNNNNNNNNNNNNNNNNNNNNNNNNNNNNNNNNNNNNNNNNNNNNNNNNNNNNNNNNNNNNNNNNNNNNNNNNNNNNNNNNNNNNNNNNNNUUCUUCCACUUUAUAAAGUGUAAGAAAAAGUUCCACUUUACAAAGUGUAAGAAAAAAUUACACUUUAUAAAGUGUAAGAAGUAGUUUCAUUUUAUAAAGUGUAGGAAAUAGUUCCGUUAUAUAUUAAAAUAUACACGUUAUGAAACUAACGGAAAACAUUUAGAAUAUUAGAUAAAGUGGAAUUUUUUCUUCCACUAAGCCUAUUUUAGUUACUUCCUAAAGUAGUGGCUUAUUUUGGUCACUUUUAUGUUUUUGUGGCUUAUUUAGGUUCCCAGCUCGGAAAAGAGGUACAUUAAUAACCUAAUCUUAUAUACCAUUUGGCAUGAAUUGAAUUCCUCAUAAUGAUCAUGAUCAACACAUUGAAGUUGUUAUAUACCAUUUGGCGGACCCACGAAAGGUUUCAGAUACUCGAACACCCAUUAAUCUCGUAUCGAACUAAUUAUAUUUUUUUUAUAGAAAUUUGAACGAAUGGUAUAAAAGUAAAUAGUGAGCACCUAGGCAACAAGCAGUUGCUUGGUGUAGUGGUCGCUUGUGGGUACUUAAAAUUGUAUAUCGUAUCUGUUGUGGCCAGAUUUGAUUCCACUAUGGUACUUUUACUUAAAAUUGUAUAUUGUAUCUGUUGUGUCUAAGUUUGAUUCCACUAUGAUAUUUUUAAAAAUUUUAAAUACCAACUCUUCUUGGUACAGCCACUUAAAAUCCUGAAUUCGCCACUGCAAAACCUUUUAUUCUAAAAAAUAAAAGCUUAUUAAAACAUAACAGUUAACUCUUAUACAAAUUUUAAUUCAUGUGCAGGCCUUUGAAGCUAAAAUUGAGAAACAAGGAUAUAAAAGCUUUCCCAGUGGACAUAUAUACUUCAUGUUAGUAGUUUUCAUUUGUUCUUCAAUUUUGUUGUUUUUCUACUUGUUUAUAAGUUUACAACUUGUCAAAAUAUAGGGCAUUUGCUGGAAAAGUGAAGGCUUUUGACACAAGAGGCCAUGCUACAAAACUAUGUAUUAUUUUGUUCUGCUUCCUUUACUAUUUGCUUCAUUAGUUGGAAUUUCUCAAAUUGAUAUAGGCUUAAGUCUCCAACGAGAGUACACGAGGGAACCCUCAUUAUCCAAGCAUGAACAAUAAUGCAAGAUGUUGAAGUUGUUGGAGAUGGAAGGAGAUAUUGAAUUCGAAUCUCCAUAGCCUCGUCGAAUGAGAAAACGUAACAUCUAUACCUUUGUAUGUUGAACUUAACACGAUGGAAAGCUUAGUAAUCAACACAGAAAUAACAGGGAAGGAAAGGAAGAAACAAAAACUGAAAAUAGUUUGCAGGGAAAAGUUGCAUACUUUAUUCAAUAUGUUGAGAAGUUAAUAUAGGCUUAUAGAAUUUUAGGAAUCCUAACCCCACUAAAUAACUACUUAAUUUUAGUAAACCAAUUUCCCUAAACUCUAGGAAAAGAAAUUUGCAAUACUACAAACUAGGAAAAGCAUUACGUGCUAACAAAAUAACAAAGUAACAACUAACUAGAAUAUAGCUACUGCCAAGACUUAGUCAGACUAGAAAAAAUAGGCUGAUGUUGAGCGAUUUUAACACCUCCUCUCGACAUCAGCUGUCAUCUUAGCCAUGCCUAGUUGCUAACAUAAACUUUCAAACUUAUUGACACUUAAGCCUUUUGUGAACAAGUCUGUAAUUUGUUUCUCUGUGUUAAUAUGCUCCAGGUUAAUCUCUCCUUGUAACACCUUUUCUAUGAUGAAAUGGUAAUGUAUUUCCACAUGCUUCGUCCUUGCAUGAAAAAUAGGAUUUUCAGCCAAAUUAAUCACUGACUGAUUGUCACAGUACAAAGAAACUGCAUAGCCAACUAGUUGAUGUAAAUCCUUCAUCAACCGCAUAAGCCAUAUACUUUCUUGAGCUGCAACUACUACUUUAUCGAUACUCUGCUUCUGUUUUUGAUAGCAACAUUGUUGGCUGCCUUUUGUUGCACCAAGAAAUUGCUCCAGCUCCAAGCUUAAACAUGAAGCCAGUAGUUGAAUGACGAGUGUCAUGGUCUCCUGCAUAGUCCGAGUCACAGUAACCAACCAACUUGCAUUCUUCACCUUUCUUAUACACGAGGCUAUAACGAAUUGUACUUUUCACAUAUCUUAGAAUUCGAUGAACAACCUCCAUAUGACACUUCUUUGGCUUGUGCAUGUAGCGACUCAUCACACCAAUUGCAAAAGAAAUAUCAGGCCUAGUCUGAGUUAGAUAAAUCAGACUACCUACCAGUUGUCGAUACAUCGUCACAUCUUCUAAAUCUUUUCCUUCAUGUGCACACAUCACAUGUCGUGAUGUAUAACACCUUCCAGUUGUAGGGUCACUACAUUUCCACCCUUUUCUUUGAUUAUCAUAGCCUAUAAAAAUACAUUUAACAGCUUUCUUGUCCAAUUUUCUACGUAAUUGAUCAGCUAUAAAAACAUAGCAUACACAUCCAAAUACUCACAAAUAACUGACAUUAGCUUUCAUAUUCCACAACUUCUCAAAAGGUGAAAGAAAACCUAACCUUUGUUGAGGAAGUCUGCUGAUGACAUAUGACACAUUCCUCAUUGCUUCUGCCCAAAAUCUUCCUGGGACAUUCUCGGCAUGUAACAUAGUGCGGCAUAUUUCUGCUAAAUUCCUAUUCUUCCUCUCCGCAAUGCCAUUUUGUUGUGGUGUGUAGGCACAAGUAUAUUGAUGGUGAAUUCCUCAUUCCCUUAGGUAUUGAGAAAACUUAACUGAGCAGUAUUCCCCUCAGUUAUCUGUUCUUAAACAACAAAUUUUCUUUCCCAGUUCUCCCUUAACUGUUUCCUUAAACUCUUUAAACUUAGAAAAAGAAUCAGAUUUUUCUUUCAUAAAGAAAACCCAAACAUACCUAGAGAAAUCAUCAAUAAAGGUCACCAUGUACUUCAUUCCACCAAUUCAUGAUUGCUUGACAGGUCCAAACACAUCAGAAUGAAUUAAUUGUAGUGAUUCAUAGUCUUUAAAUUUGGACUCUACAAACGGCAACUGGUGAGCUUUACCGAAUUGGCAUCCUGAACAGACGAUGUCUGCUCUUACUUCAAGUUGAGGAAAACCCUUGAUCAUUAACUUCUUCAACAUAACACUUAGCUUGGAAUAACUCACAUGACCCAAUCUCAUAUGCCACAAAUCAGUUGUCUCAUUAUUUGUUGUCUUUUCUACAUAUGCAAACUCUACAUACAUCACAUAAAUGGACUCUAAUCUACGCCCUUUCGUAAUUGGAUUUUCUAAGUUCUUGAGAUCUUGAUAAAUCCUCACAUCAUCAGGACCAAACAAGACAUAGUUUCUAGAUGUUGUUAAUUGCGACACUGAAAGCAAGUGUUUCCUCAUACCUGGAACAUGAUAGACAUUCUGAAGUGGUAUUUGAUUGAUCCCUUGUUGAAGAGAGACUGGUGUUUUACCAAUAUGAACUAUCAGUAACCUUGAAUUAUGUAACACCUCAGAAAUGAGUAGGUUGAAUUAGAGCCUAAACGUGAGGGUUAACGUCAAGGUAUGUGCUAGACCCCGGAGUUUAGAAGACCUUUUACGGGUUGGUUGAGAGUUGCAAGGUCGAGUGCCAAACCAAAAAGGGGCAAGCCUAAGCCAAAAGCCAAGGCUGCCCCAAGCUUGGCCAAGCACUGCCCAAGGACCACGACCACCUUCACAAACAGUGGUCUUGACCAUGGUCCGUGAAGGGGCUCGUGAAGGUCCCUUAGGCAUGUGGGAAGCAAGGCCUUGAGGCCUAGCCACUGCCUAGGAACCACGACUCGUGGUCUUGACCACGGAUCGUGGAAGGUCUUGUGGUCUUGCCUUGGCAUUGUGGAGGCCAAGGCCCCAAGCCAUAGCUACUGCCUAGGAACCACGACCUCCAUCACGACUUGUGGUCUUGACUACGGAUCGUGGAGGGUCUCGUGAUCUUGCCUUAGGAUCAUGAAGUCUUGCCAAGUUGAGGAGGGUCACUGGUCAAGGGACCACGGGCACCACCACGAGCCGUGGUGCCCUUGACGAGCUGUGAAAGAGGGCGUGGUCCCUGGGACGGGCAGCCUAGUUGAGGGUCAUUUCAUAAUUUCCAAAUCAAUUAGUUAAUUAAUGGGGUCAUUUUUAAUUGUUUUAUUUCACAUAAAUAAAUGGUUUUAAGUCAUUAAACACCUAUUUUACUCCAUUAUUCUGAAAUACCCAAAUCAAAACCCCAAAGUUCUUCCCUCUCAAUAUUUCUCUCUCUAGAAACCUCCGUUUAAGAAGAAGAAGAAGGAGUGGAAGCUAGGGCUUGAAGAACCAAAGUGUUUCUUCUCAAAUUUUGAGGAAAUAUCCAUUAAGAUAUGGUAGUUUUCAUCCUUGGUUUGUUUCCACCCAAGUAGACCCUUCAAAAGAUGAUUUCAAGUUUCCAAAAUCCCCCAAAAUACCUAGUGUUUUCAAUCCAAGCAUGGGUUCAAUUCCAAAAUGUUUUCAAAGGUUUAUAUGUGAUGAAUUAUUAAUAAAUUGCUGAAUUAAUGAUGAAUUCUCCUAUGAACCCAUGUUUCCCCCAAAAUACUAAAUUGGAAGCUUGUGAUUUGGGUUAAUUCAUUAUGGGAUCAUGUUGAAUUGUUAUGUCUAUGUUGAAUUAGUUAUUGAAUCAUGAUAUUUCCCUUAUAUAAUGUAUAUUCUAGAUGUUUAGGUUUAGAUUGAUUCAUAGCCUUGAAGGGCAAAGUAUGAAGGAUAUGUAUGAUUCUGAUGUGAAGUAUAUGCAUAUGAUUACAAUAAAAGUAUUAUGAUCAUGCCUAGAAUGAAAUUGUGUUAUUAUUGAAAGGUUAUUCUCAAUUUGACACUUAUGAAUGAUGAUGAUAGAAUGUGAAAGGUUUCUUCAAGUAAUGUUGAUUAAUGCAUCUUGAAUUGGUAGGCUUAGGUAUCAUUUUCUUAUGUUGCUAAUGUAUCUUGACUUAAUGAACCUUGAAUCGGUAGACCUAAUGUUGGUGUCCCUUUCAUGAGGAGUCUAUAAAUGAAUGAAUAAAUGAAUGAUAAACCAUGAAUUGGUAGACCUAAUGGUAGUGGCCCUUUCAUGUGUGAAAUGAUGAACCUUGAACUGGUAAACCUAAUAGUGGUGGCCCUUUCUUGAAGAUCCAAUGAGCUCUCAUUGUAAUGUACCUUGAAUCGGUAGACCUAAUGGUGGUGGCUAUUUAAUGUGUAAAUGUACCUUGAGUCGGUAGACGUAAUGGUAGUAGCCCUCUUAAGUAUAAUAAUGUUAACGAAAAUGAACUACUCUAUGGGAAUGGAGGCUAAGUACUGAGGGGCCGUUUGGUUACUGGUUAGAGUUAUGCAGGUAUUAGUUAUACAGGGUUUAGUUAUGCAGGUAUUAAUUAUGCAGGGUUUAGUUAUGCAGGUAUUAGUUAUGCAGGGUUUAAUUAUGCGGGUAUUAGCUAUGUGGAUAUUAGUUAUGUAGGUAUUAUUUAGUUAUGUAGAGAUUACAAUACAUGAAUUAUUAACUAUUAUAUUAAACUUGUAGUAAAUUAUUAAUAUAUAUUAUUUACAAAAUAAUAAUACAUGUUAAUAAAAUGUGGAAUAUAUUGAAUAAUAUACAAUGCUAAUAUUUUUAUUUUUUUAAUCAACAUUGGACAAUGUCCAUUUAUUCAUCAAAUAAAAAUUGUGUCCAAACAAGGUCCAAGAGUGACCAAGUCGGUCAACAAAAUAGACAAAACAAAAACAACUAGAAAUAAUCUAAUUUGGAAACAAAAAAAUCCUAAACUGAUAGAACAACUCCAGCAUAAUGCUAAUAUUUGAUUAGCAUAUGUACCGUCAAAAAAUAUACAAUCAAAUCUCUAAUAUUAAAAAAAUAUUUAUAUUUGCAUAAAUAANNNNNNNNNNNNNNNNNNNNNNNNNNNNNNNNNNNNNNNNNNNNNNNNNNNNNNNNNNNNNNNNNNNNNNNNNNNNNNNNNNNNNNNNNNNNNAAACAGUAAAGUUUCCAAUUAAAAAAUAAAAUAAAAAUUAAUAGGGUAAAUAUGUAAUCUAUCAUUUUAAUACAUGUAUAACUAAUACCCACAUAACUUAUUCCACCUUCUACCCUGCAUAACUUUAUACAUAGAUUCCCUCAUAAGUUAUGUUGGUAUUAAUUAUGUAGGACUAUAAAAAUGCAACCAAACACCGUAUAAAUUAAUACAUGAAUAACUUUUAUACAACAUUUAAAUUCUUACCAACCAAACGUGGUAUAAGUUAUGCUGACUUUUAUACCUAAUACAAAACUUCUACCAAACACAGUAAAGCUAAUGCAACUUUUUAUACAUGAAUAAAAUGUCUCUUAUACAGUAACCAAACGACCCCUGAGAGGAUAUGGUAAGAUGGAAGCUCUCCCUACCUUAGGCUGGGUUUUAAUGAACAUCUUUCUUAUCCCAUAACUAUGUGCCCGCAUAGGAUAUUAGCUAGUGGAUCCACCUAAGCUAAAAUGUUACCGGUUAUACCCUAGGCAAGUAGACCACCUCUUUACGGUGUGGGGAUAUGACACCAGAUUCCAUGGUUUGUUGUCAUGGUCUAAAACGGUUAAUGCUUAUUCCCAUCAUGUGAGAUACGUGCUAUAAUUACUUGAGAGGUUCUAUGAAGUGUGGGUGGUAGUAUGGGAUGUCAUUCAUGCAUUGCACGAGUAGUCUUUGAGUGGUCUAUGGUGUGAUUAUCCAAUGUUUUAAGGUCUAAUGAAAGAAAGUGCUCUUAAUGAAGCUAAUGAAGAAUAUUGGCAUAUAUGCUUAAUGUGAUGAUGCAUGUUUUACUUGGAUUGUAUUAUGAGUUACUUUCCUUCUCAUGACUUAUGAAAUGUAUGUGUUCCUUAUGCAUGAUUAUUGAUUGAAGAUGACUAAUGAAGAAUGGUAAGUUCAUCUAAAGUGACCUCAAAGUGGUACUUGGUGGGAAUAGUAGUAUGGGAUGCUAUUCUCACAUUGCACGAGUAUAACUUAGGGUUGCUUGAGGUGAAUUUUCUAAUGUGAAGAAAUGACUUUAUGAUGAUUAUGCUAGUAUAUUAUGCAACUUAUACUUAUGGUAAUGACAUUUCUCAAAAUUGUCAUUUAGCAUGAUUUACAAAUAAAAUGUCUUUUUAAACAUGGUUUUUGCAUGGCUAUCAUACUUAGUACAUUUUUGUGUGCUAACCCAUAUUUCUCCAAUUUUUCUACAAAGUGUAGGUUCCGCAAUUGAGUUGAUUUCUCCAGUUCAAGCUUGAGUUAACUAUUCAUCAAGUUUGUGGUAUGUCCUCAUGGAUCCGAGGACAAAUGCUUUAUUGUCAUUUCAUUUCUUCAUUGUACUAGACAUUUAUUAUAUUUUCUAUUGUAAGGGUUGUGACCCUAGUUUUGACUCAAGAUGCUUUUAGAUGGCCAUGUGAGACUAGUAGACUUCCGUUGUUUUAAAUCAUAAUUCGAUUGUAUGGAUUUAAAGAAAAAUUUUAAAUUCCGCACUAUUUCAUAUGUCUUAUGUUAUAAAUGCUAUGAGGCUUUUCGGAGUUUUGUACAUCAUGUCACAUCCGGGGCGUAGGCUCGGGUCAUUACAAACAUGGUAUGAGAGCACAAGAUUUUAGGAUUGUUUUUAGGAUUGAUGUCUCACAAGCCACGUCGAGUAGAGUCUUGUUCAUGAGUGUGAAUCGCGACACAUUUAUGAAUGAGAGGCUAUAAGACAUUAGGAAACUUCACUUCUUUCAUUACUCUUUAGUAGUGCCUUAGAGUUUUGACUCUAUGAAUGUCCUUUUCUUAACCCUUCUCUUGUGUUUAUAGGAUAUAAAUACAAGAAGGGUGAACGCAAGAAAGAUGGAAGAGGAAAAUGUCAAUGAAGGAGUUCCUCCCCAAGGUCCCCAAGUUCCUCAAGGCAUCCAAGUUCCUAUUGAUCCUCCGACUAUGACAAAUAAGGAAGUUAGGUUGGCUCUUUUGAUGAUGGCUCAAGCCGUAACUACUCAAUCCCAAGCUAUGACGGCCCAAGCUAAUAGGGGUGUUGAAACUCAUGUGAAUCCUAUUGUGAGCACUAUGGCUUCUAGGUUGAGGGACUUUGUGAGGAUGAACCCUCCGAUGUUUCUAGGUUCCAAGGUGGGAGAGGAUCCCCAAGAGUUUUUGGAUGAGGUGUAUAAGGUAGUUAAUGCUAUGGGGCUGACUUCUAUAAAAAAAAAAACGGAACUAGCCGCUUAUCAAUUGAAGGAUGUUUCCCAAGUUUGGUUCACUCAAUGGAAGAGUAAUAGGCUCGGGCCUAUAGAUUGGAAAGUGUUCAAUGAUGUAUUGCUUGGUAGGUUCUUUCCCUGUGAGAAGAGGGAAACUAAGGUGGAUGAGUUUAUCAAUCUUAGGCAAGGUAACAUGAAUGAUCAAGAGUAUUCUUCGAAAUUUACCCCUUUGUCUAAGAAUGCUCCAUCUUUGGUGUCUAACCCGAGGGAUGAGAUGAGUAGAUAUAUAACGGGAGUUUCCGACCUAGUUGAGGAAGAGUGUCGUACGACAAUGCUCCAUGAAGACAUGAACAUCUCUAGACUUAUGGUAUAUGCUCAAUCGAUUAAGGAGUCCAAACUUAAAAGGAAGAAUAGGGAGAUGAAGAGAGUGAGAUCCAAUGGUCAAGGUCAACCAAGGUUCAAAAAGAGAGAUCCAAACCAAGAUUCUUCAAGCACUCCUAGGGUUAACCAAGAUAAAGGUGGGGGACCUCCAUUUUCUAAAUCUACUUGCCACAAUUGUGGAAAGAAGCAUCAUGGGAAGUGUCUAGCCGGUACAAAUGGGUGUUAUGGUUGUGAGAAAAUUGAUCAUCAAGUGAAAGAUUUAAUCUUCAGGCCAAGGGAAGAGAGGCCAAUCAAGUUUCUCUUAAUGGCCCGGAUCCUAAUGCUCCAAAGAAUAGUCGUUUCUAUGCACUUCGGGUUAGAGAGGACAAAGGAGUCCUUCUGGAUGAAGGGACCGGUAUGUUGAUAGUUCCUUAAAGUUGUAAAUGUUUUAAUUGAGGUCCCUAUGCUAUUUUUAUGUUAGUCUUAGUGUGGGUUUACUCCCAAGGGAGAGAUGGUAUGUUGGGAUAGUAAGGUUGUUGAGAGUUUCGAUAUCCUUAUCACUUUCUUCUAUUCCUAUUCAAGCUUGAGACCUAGAGUUUCCAGUUUCAUGUUUUGGAGUCAUGUGUGAUUUAUGUGUUUCCAUGAUCUCCUUAUGUUAUGCAUGUUCUUGAUGAAUGUAUGUUUAAUGAGAAAUUGAGUUUUCAUGAUUUUUAUUCCUCAUGUUGAUGUGCAUCUAUAAUGAGUUGCCUAAAUGCUUCAUGAGUUGAAUUUGUUGAACAUACUUAAAUUUGUCUUUGAGAAGAGUUGCAUAAUUCGCUUAAUGAUGUUGUGAUGAGCAUAAUGUGAGUUGGAGAAGGAAAUUCUCCAAUGAAAUGAGAAAUGUUGAUGUUUUCGUGCAUAAUGAGUUUGUAGAAGUAGUUCCUACUUCCUUGUGUUUCAUUGAGCUUAUUGAUGUGGAGUUGAUGUUUCCUCCUAUGAUUUGUGCAUUUUAUUGAUGUGUCAUGCAUGAUGGGCAGCUAGUCUUGAGUUUAUAAUUCCGUAAGGUGUCUAAUAUGUCAUUCGAGGACGAAUGUUCCCAAGGGGGAGAUAAUGUAACACCUCAGAAAUGAGUAGGUUGAACUAGAGCCUAAACGUGAGGGUUAACGUAAAAGGUUAAGGGGUUUAGUGAUUAAACGUCAAGGUAUGUGCUAGACCCCGUAGUUUAGAAGACCUUCUAAGGUUUGGUUGAGGGUUGCAAGGUAGAGUGCCAAUCCAAAAAGGGGCAAGCCUAAGCCAAAGGCCAAGGUUGCCCCAAGCUUGGCCAAGCACUGCCCAAGGACCACGACCACCUUCACGACCAGUGGUCUUGACCACAGUCCGUGAAGGUCCCUUAGGCAUGUGGGAAGCAAGUCCUUGAGGCCUAGCCACUGCCUAGGAACCACGACCUUCAUCAUGACUCGUGGUCUUGACCACGGAUCGUGGGAGGUCACGUGGUGUUGCCUUGGCAUUGUGGAGGCCAAGGCCCCAAGCUAUAGCUACUGCCUAGGAACCACGACCUCCACCACGACUCGUGGUCUUGACCACAGAUCGUGGGAUGUCUCGUGGUCUUGCCUUAGGAUCAUGAAGGCUUGCCAAGUUGAGGAGGGUCACUGGUCAAGGGACCACGGGCACCACCACGAGCCGUGGUGCCCUUGAUGUGCCGUGAAAGAGGGCGUGGUCCCUGGGACGGGCAGCCUAGUUGAGGGUCAUUUGGUAAUUUCCAAAUCAAUUAGUUAAUUAAUAGGGCCAUUUUUAAUUGUUUUAUUUCACAUAUAUAAAUGGUUUUAAGUCUUUAAACACCUAUUUACACCAUUAUUUUCAAAUACCCAAAGUUCUUCCCUCUCAAUAUUUCUCUCUCUAGAAAUCUUCAUUGAAGAAGAAGAAGGAGUGGAGGCUAGGGCUUGAAGAACCAAAUUGUUUCUUCUCAAAUUUCAAGGAAAACUACAUUAAGGUAUGGUAGUUUUCAUCCUUGGUUAGUUUCCACCCAAGUAGCCCCUUCAAAAGAUGAUUUCAAGUUUCCAAAAUCCCCCAAAAAACCUAGGGUUUUCAAUCCAAGCAUGGGUUCAAUACCAAAACAUUUUCAAAGGUUUAUAUGUUAUGAAUUAUGAAUGAAUUGCUGAAUUAAUGAUGAAUUAUGAUGAAUUCUCCUAUGAACCCAUGUUUCCCCCAAAAUACUAAAUUGGAAGCUUGUGAUUUGGGUUGAUUGAUUAUGGGAUCAUGUUGAAUUUUUAUGUCUAUGUUGAAUUAGUUAUUGAAUCAUAAUAUUUCCCUUAUCAAAUGUAGUAUUCUAGACGUUUGGUUUUAGAUUGAUUCAUAGCCUUGAAGGGCAAAGUAUGUAGGAUAUAUGUAUGAUUAUGAUGUGAAGUAUAUGAAUGUGGUCACAAUGAAAGUAUUAUGAUCAUGCCUAGAAUGCAAUUGUGUUAUUGUUGAAAGGUUAUUCUCAAUUUGACACUUAUGAAUGAUGAUGAUAGAAUGUGAAAGGUUUCUUCAAGUAAUGUUGAUUGAUGCAUCUUGAAUUGGUAGGCUUAGGUAUCCUCUUAUUGUGUUGCUAAUGUAUCUUGACUUAAUGAACCUUGAAUCAGUAGACCUAAUGUCGGUGGCCCUUUCAUGAGGAGUCUAUAAAUGAAUGAAUGAAUGAAUGAAUGAUAAACCUUGAAUCGGUAGACCUAAUGGUGGUGGCCCUUUCAUGUGUGAAAUGAUGAACCUUGAACCGGUAGACCUAAUGGUGGUGGCCCUUUCUUGAGGAUUCAACGAGCUAUCCUUUAAUGUACCUUGAAUCGGUAGACCUAAUGGUGGUGGCCCUUUCAUGUUGUAAAUGUACCUUGAGUCGGUAGACCCAAUGGUGGUAGCCUCUUAAGUAUAAUAAUGUUAACGAAAAUGAACUACUCUAUGGGAAUGGAGGCUAAGUACCUAGAGGAUAUUGUUAUACCCCAUUUUAACUCGAGGUCAAAAUGUGUACAACAUUUUGGUGAUUUCCAAAUUAUUAACUAACUUGAGAAGUCGCCACCUAAUUAAUACGGUGAAUUAGGACACCUAAAUAUUUAACUAAGUAAUACUAAAAUUGACUUCAAUUAAGGUCUACUAAACCUAUGUGAUUCUAGGUAAAAAAUUUAAUUAUCCUAAAGGAAAGGGGUAAGGCAUCCUCAAAGAUCAGUUAAAAACUGUUAACCGGUCAAACUUAGGUUAAUUAAUUUUAAGAGAAAGAUAUUAAUGCUAAUGAUUAAGUUAUUGAAUAAUCAAAUUGGAAACAUUUUUUAAUUGUGAAAGCUCUUUUGUAAUUGUAAUAGAAUGAUAAAGAUUUAAGAAAAAGUAACUCGUGUAGGUAAAUUUAGACAAAUUUUGUAAUCCAAUGGCUAAAAGAAAGGUGAUUAAAAAAAAAGUAUUUGCUCUCAUUUAUUGACAAAGUGCCUCCUUUAGAAAAGUUUUUUUUUUUUUUUAGAAAAAUAGGAGUUUAGAACUUUUUUUUUUUUUUGGAAAUACAGAACCAAGUUUGAACAAACUUAAUAAAUUAGUGAGUUUGAAGUGGUGCAAAAAGAAGUGUUUUAAAAAAGUUUGUUCAUGAAGUUCAUAAAAGCUAAAGUAACUAUAAAGGUUUGUUUCUAACUAAAGGUACCCAAAUUCAAACAUCUAUAUUAAGUCAACUAUUAUGAAUCCAAACUAGAAAUAUCUAAAUCACACAAGUAAGUACAACAUGUAGAGAAAACACGUAAACAAAUAAUGCAAAAUGUAAGUAGCUAUAUGUGACUCCAAUAUAGGACCACUUGUUUUGCUUGCAAUUUCAAAUAGUCAAAGAUGUAGUGAAGAUUCCAUGUGCUCUUUUGUUAUCACUUCCGUUUCUAUUUGGAAGUAAUAUAAAAGACAAGAGCAGUAGAUGAGUGACAAUGAAGAGAAAGAUGUCAUCUUCGGGUAUAGCGAUGAUGAGGUUGAGUCUCAAAACGAGACUCUUUGUGCUCCAUUGCCAUGAAAAAAAAACAAAGAAACAAAAUAAAGGGAAUUAGAAGAAGAACAGAUUUAGCAAGUAAAAAUAUAAGAAGGACAAAAAAAUAAAUUCCUUAGCAUCACAUAUUAGAGAUGUAACUAGCUGCAAAGAGAAAACAUACGUGAAAACUUGAUACAAUUAACAAAUCAAAACUUGGAGAGGGCUAAAGGAAUCACUGUACAACUUAUUCUUUAGGAAUUUAAUCUAAAAUUAACUCAUAGUCUCUAAAGUAUUGUUUAAAGGUAUAUGCCAUGAUUUUUGUUUAGACAAAUGAUAUAUUUAUAUGGUACAGAUGAUGAACUUUCCAUAUAGAACAAACAUGUAUUUGGAAAGGUUAAACACAUUAUAUUUUUUAUCUUAGAUGUAAAUAUAAUAUGUAGAUUAACAGAAGGAAUUCUUGAGACAUAGCUGAAUAUUCACCCUUAAAAAAAAGGUUUCUGACGAUUUAAUUAGUUACGGGAUUUAAAAGAUGAACAACAUAUAAUGCAAAACAGUGAUUGAAACAAUGCUUAAUACGUCAAAAGUUUAAAGUUUAAUCGCAGAAAGUACUCGGUCUAUGUAUGAUUUUCGCUUAAAUCUAUUUGGACAGAAUGCAUAAUUUUACCAAAUGAAACAGAUUUUAAGAACAUUGUAUCAAAUAGUUUAAACAAACAAAUAAGAUACCAAUCCUAAAUCCCAUAUACAAGCAGACCUUAACAUUUGCUCCUAUAUACAAAGUUGAACACAUGAUUAUUGUCUUAAUGACGAACACUAAUAACGGCUUAAAGAAAAAGUGUUGUUCAUCUUGUAUUCCUAAGAUACUUAGAANNNNNNNNNNNNNNNNNNNNNNNNNNNNNNNNNNNNNNNNNNNNNNNNNNNNNNNNNNNNNNNNNNNNNNNNNNNNNNNNNNNNNNNNNNNNNNNNNNNNUUUUUUUUUUUUUUUUUUUCCGUCUUCAAACAGAAUUAAACAUAUUCUUUAUCAGGAAUGUUUUUAUUUUCAAUAGCCUUCCAACUAUAACAUUUUGACAUACUAUUUUAUCAAAUAAAAAUAUGCAUCUCUCAUUUUGCAAACUAAAGAAUUUUAAAGGCAACACUAUUUGCUAAGCAAAAUUCAUUCCACAACAAAUGGUUUGCAAAUCUUUUUUUUCAAAGAUACACAUGAUAAAAAAAAAUUCAAAAUUGUUAACUCUUAGAAACUAUUUUCCUUCUUAGAUAAAUAAUAAGAAGGUUACAUGGUGUAAUCUUUAUUCGGAAUAGCACCAAUUUUUUUCUGUACACUCUCACUUCGACCUUGCUAAACAAAGCACCAAAUUCUAGAGAAGUAAUGCAUUAAUCUUCUACUUCCAUGAUCUGUUUCUCUCAAUCAGUAGAAUACAAGAAAUACCAACAGUAUAAUAAUUUCCUUAAGAUUGUUGUUCAUCUUGUAUUCCUAAGAUACUUAGAACAAAACUUUGAAGAACUUGGUAAGAAACAACAGAGUUUAAAGAGUAUUUUCAAAACUAGGAAAUCAAAACUGGUAGAGAAAAUCAAAUCAGAAACAAAUUAGAAACAAUAUAAAAAUAUUUUUCUCAAAGAAAGAAAAUUAAGCCCACUGAAUGCACAGUGUCCCUUUAAGGGAAUUAUUCCCCUAAAGUACCCGAGGUUAAUGGAAUAUAUUUUCUUUUAAAAUGAGAGGAAAUCCCUCAAUUUAUAGAAAGCAGAGGGUAGUGUGAAAAGGUUCUUAUUGUGCCUUACCGGAAAGGUCACAAACCUUUGAAAAGUAACAAUCUUUCGGAAAGGUCACCACCUUUCAUAAAAGUCACAACUUUUCAUAAAAGUAGCAACUUUUGAUAAAAGUCACAACUUUUCAUAAAAGUAGCAACUUUUGAUAAAAGUCACAACUUUUCAUAAAAGUAGCAACUUUUGAUAAAAGUCACAACUUUUCAUAAAAGUAGCAACUUUUGAUAAAAGUCACAACUUUUCAUAAAAGUAGCAACUUUUGAUAAAAGUCACAACUUUUCAUAAAAGUAGCAACUUUUGAUAAAAGUCACAACUUUUCAUAAAAGUAGCAACUUUUGAUAAAAGUCACAACUUUUCAUAAAAGUAGCAACUUUUGAUAAAAGUCACAACUUUUCAUAAAAGUAGCAACUUUUGAUAAAAGUCACAACUUUUCAUAAAAGUCGCAACUUUUGAUAAAAGUCACAACUUUUCAUAAAAGUCGCAACUUUUGAUAAAAGUCACAACUUUUCAUAAAAGUCGCAACUUUUGAUAAAAGUCACAACUUUUCAUAAAAGUCGCAACUUUUGAUAAAAGUCACAACUUUUCAUAAAAGUCGCAACUUUUGAUAAAAGUCACAACUUUUCAUAAAAGUCGCAACUUUUGAUAAAAGUCACAACUUUUCAUAAAAGUCGCAACUUUUGAUAAAAGUCACAACUUUUCAUAAAAGUCGCAACUUUUGAUAAAAGUCACAACUUUUCAUAAAAGUCGCAACUUUUGAUAAAAGUCACAACUUUUCAUAAAAGUCGCAACUUUUGAUAAAAGUCACAACUUUUCAUAAAAGUCGCAACUUUUGAUAAAAGUCACAACUUUUCAUAAAAGUCGCAACUUUUGAUAAAAGUCACAACUUUUCAUAAAAGUCGCAACUUUUGAUAAAAGUCACAACUUUUCAUAAAAGUCGCAACUUUUGAUAAAAGUCACAACUUUUCAUAAAAGUCGCAACUUUUGAUAAAAGUCACAACUCUUCAUAAUAGUCGCAACUUUUCAUCAAAGUCACAACUCUUCAUAAAAGUCGCAACUCUUCAUUUUCCAUUCACACCUUUUAAAACCCAACAAAAAGUUAAAAGAUUCACUAACCACGACAAAUAAUACAAAACUAACAUAUGAUCAAAGAUGAGCUAAUCAUUCAACUCCAUAACCAAAGAAAGGAUGAGAAUAAAAUGUUACUGACCUAUUUUGGAGCAGUGAACUUGGGGCGUUUUCGGUCGAAGAUCUACUCUCGAAUACGAAGACGAGGUUAAGCCCGUUCAAAUCCAAAAUUGCGAAGAACAAGACUUUAAAACUAGGUGUGAUAGCUUCAAAGCUUUUAGGGAAAACGAGUAGCUGAAAAAAAUUCUUGAAAUUAAUUCCAAAUACCAGUAUUUAUAGGUAAAAAAUAGGUUCUUGAGCGGGAAUUCCAAUUUUGAAAUUAAUCAAAAAUAAAACCUUUAGAUCCCAAUGUUUGAAAGCCCUUUGGAUAAGAUAUGCCGGAGCCACGUGAUUGAGGGGACAUUGGCGUGAAGAUGGAGUACCUACCCUCUGCUUAUGUUGACAAACUAUGCUACUUUUCCAGAAAAAUGAAAGAGGAGACAUGAUGUGCGGCUGCUAAGGGAAAAGACAUGACAUUGAAACCUAAAGAGACUUGGAUAAAUUUUUUAAAAUAAGGAUAGUUAGGCUGCUGCGUUUUUUGGCUUCCAAAUGGGGUCUUUUUUGGAUAAAUUUAGUAGUCCUAAAGGCUGAAUACUUUUUGGGUCUCAAAUUGAAUCAAAUUUUGUGGUCCAAUUAGCUGAAAUAGUUUUCGGGUCGUUCAUUUUUUAAAUCAAUUCUUUCGAGCUUCUAAUUUAAUAACUAACAUAAUAUAUAAGUGGUAUGUAAAAAAAAUAAAAUACUAAUAUUAUAUUUUAGGUAAUGAUUUAGAAAAAUAUUUACUAACUUAUAAGUAAUUAAUUAAGUAGGAACUUUGAAAUGUGAUGACAAUAACAAAAGUUUAAAAAGUAAUUUUAUACUAAUUCUAAAAGGAAUGACAAUCAUAAAACAAAUAAUAUUAAUAAUAAAAUAGUAAUAGUAAGUUGCAAAUAUUAUAGGAAUUAAUGGUAAAAAUAUUUAUUAAAUUAGAAGCUCGAAAAAUGUAAUUGGAAGAAAGGAGGGUCAAAAUUGGGUGUCAACAGAUAUGGUAAGAUGGAAGCUUUCCCUACGCUAGACCGAGUUUCAAUGAACAUCUUUCUUAUCCCAUAACUAUGUGCCCGCAUAGGAUAUUAGCUAGUGGAUCCACCUAAACUUAAAUGUUACUGGUUCUACCCUAGGCAAGUAGACCACCUCUUUAUGGUGUGGGGAUAUGACACCGUAUUCCAUGGUUUGCUCUCAUGGUCUAUGUUGGUUAAUGCUUAUUCCCAUCAUGUGAGAUACGUGCUAUAGCUACUUGAGAGGUUCUAUGAAGUGUGGGUGGUAGUAUGGGAUGCCAUUCAAGCAUUGCACGAGUAGGCUUUGAGAGGGCUAUGGUGUGAUUCUCCAAUGUUUUAAUGUCUAAUGAAAGAAAGUGCUCUUAAUGAAGCUAAUGAAGAAUGUUGACAUAUAUGCUUAAUGUGAUGAUGCAUGUUUUACUUGGAUUGUAUGAUGAGUUACCUUCCUUGUCAUGACUUAUGAAAUGUAUGUGUUCCUUAUGCAUGAGUAUUGAUUGAAGAUGACUAAUGAAGAAUGGUAAGUUCAUCUAAAGUGACCUCAAAGUGGUACUUGGUGGGAAUAGUAGUAUGGGAUGUUAUUCUCACAUUGCACAAGUAUAGCUUAGGGUUGCUUGAGGUGAAUGUUCUAAUGUGAAGAAAUGACUUAUAUGAUAAUUAUGCUUGUAUAUUAUGUCUCUUAUACUUAUGUUCAUCACAUUUCUCAAAAUAGGCAUUUAGCAUGAUUUACAAAUAAAAUGUCCUUUUUAAGCAUGGCUUUUGCAUGGCUAUCAUACUUAGUACAUUUUUGUGUGCUAACCCAUAUUUCUCCUAUUUUUCUACAAAGUGUAGGUUCCGGAAAUUGAGUUGAUUUCUCCUGAGUUCAAGCUUGAGUUGACUAUUCAUCAAGUUUGUGGUAUGUCCUCAUGGAUCCGAGGACGAGUGCUUUAUUGUUAUUUCAUUUCUUCAUUGUACUAGACAUUUAUUAGACUUUCUAUUGUAAAGGCUGUGACCCUAGUUUUGACUCAAGAUGUUUUUAGAUGGCCACCGUUGUUUUAAAUGAUAAUUCGAUUGUAUGGAUUUAAAGAAAAGUUUUAAAUUCCGCACUAUUUCAUAUGUCUUAUGUUAUGAAUGCAAUGAGGCUUGUAUGAUGCUCUUCGAAGUCUUGUACGCCAUGUCACGUCCGGGGCUUAGGCUCAGAACGUUACAAAUUAUUAGUUGUCACGACAACACGACUACCCUUGUACACUGAUGGAUCCUGCAACUUUUGUUUAUCACAUGUCAUAUGAUUUGCACAACCCGAAUCAAAGAUACAAUCGUUCUCAUGAUCAAUUGAUUUAGAUAUAGUCUAUGCAAGUGCUAAAUCCUCUUCUUCUAUAGCGAAAAAUGCUUCAGCAUCCCAAACAUCUUCACUUUUCUCGUUGGAAUUUGAGGUAGUUGUGUUACUUUUGACGGACUGUUUCUUGGACCAAUGAUCCUUUUCCAUAUGACCCUUCUUCCCACAAUUGUAACACUUUCCUUCGAAUCGUUUGUCAUUCCUGAGAUUCUUCGAAACUCCUCUUGGGCGAAAAUUUCCAUCUUCAUGAGAAUUUUUCUUCUUAUGUCCACCACUAGAAUGAUGCUUGAUGUUCUUGCUUUUGUUGGUGUAGAGUUCUUCUUCCUCAUUCUUCACUGAGAGUUCUGCCAUUUGCUUCGCUAUUGCUUCUUUGCCAGCAAGCAGAUUUUCAAAUUCAACAAGAGAUGGCUGAUUUGGCCAUCCAUGUACAACAACAACGAAACCUCUGUAUUCAAGUCUCAAACCAUGGAUAAUAAUUAUUUUUACCCUGGUUUCCCCAAUUAGUGCCGUUGAAUCCAAAUCUGAAAUUUCACGGCAUGUACUCUUGACUUUAUGGAAGUACUGGGCAAUUGUCAUAUCACGUUGCUCCGUUGAUAAUAAUUCGUUCUCCAAAAGUUGCAUCCUUGUAUUAUUCUUCUUUGAGAAAAGUGCAGCAAGUGUAUCCCAUGCUUCUUUUGGCAUUUUAGCAUCACAAAUAUGCUCCAACACAUCUUCAUCAAUUGUUGUUUUGAGCGCAAACAUUGCUUUUCCUGCUUUGAUCUUCCACUUCCGCAAUGUUCCAUUUGCAUACUCUGCCUUUGGUUGUUCAACUUCGCUUCCGUUGAAAACUUCCCAGAGAUCUUGACCUUGCAUAUAAGACAUUAUACAUGUUUCCCAUGUAUUAUAAUUCUGGUUAUUGAGCUUUUUUAUUCCACCAACUACUUGAAGGUCAUUCGUUGUGCUGGCUCUGAUACCAAAUGUUGAACUUAACACGAUGGAAAGCUCAGUUAUCAGCACAGAAAUAACAGGGAAAGAAAGGAAGAAACAAAAAUUGAAAACAAUUUGCAGGGAAAAGUUGCUUACUUUAUUCAAUACGCUGAGAAGGUAAUAUAGGCUUACAGAAUUUUAGGAAUCCUAACCCCACUAAAUAACUACUUAAUUUCAGUAAACCAAUUUCCCUAAACUCUAGGAAAAGAAAUCUGCAAUACUACAAACUAGGAAAAGCAUUAUGUUAUAAUAAAAUAACAAAGUAACAACUAACUAGAAUAUAGCUACUGCCAAUACUUAAUCAGACUAGAAAAAAUAGGCUGAUGUUGAACGAUUUUAACAUUGUACUCUUCUUUUAGUUUAGUCCAGGUUAUGUUGUUUCAGUCUAAAGUCAUACUAUAUAUCAAAAGAAAACAUCAAGGGGGAACUUCAAAAGACUGAAGGCAACCAAGAUAUGUUAUAUGAGGACCACUCAUUGGAUCUUAGAAACCUCAGAAACGAGAAGGUACCCCAUGUUUAAUUUUCUUCAAAAAUUUUAUUUUUUCAAGUUAGUUCUACCCUAUAUAUGUGAGUUUUAUCAAGUAUAUAUAGUUGGUCGGGGAAGCUUAAUAGCACAAUUGGUAGGCUAUGUGAACUUUAACAUUAUUGAUGAGCGUUCGAUUCCCCCACUUUGUAAUCACCUUCCCUGUUUCCCCUUCCCGUACCCCAAGUUUAAAAAGUAAAAAAUAAGUAUAGUUGGUCUCCUGCCCGAAUAAAUGAUGACGAUUUUGUGAAAUGACGUCUGUAUAAAAGGGAUUAACGGGAUAGAGGAUCCUCCUGCCUGGGCCUCUUUGUGCUCCAAAGAAUCCCGUUGGUGCACCAUUAAUCAAUACAAAGAAUUUCACUCAUGAUAUACAUAAUUUUAUCCACAGGAUCCAUGCUACUAUACUAAACCGGCUGAAAGAGCGUAGUUUUGACCUAAAUUCCUUACAUGACAGGCUCCUCUCCUUCGCGGGAUAGGGCACAUUCCAUUCCGCCAUAAUCACACUUUAAAACUCGAUCCAGCUCUCAAACUAUAUGAUCCUCGUCACCAGUCAGCUAAUACUGAUAGUUGUCCUCCUACGGACCUUUGCCUUCCCUCCGUUUCCACAAUAAGAAGAAAAAACUUAAUUUUUCCUGAAUAUGAAUUACGACAAGGAAAAUAAAAUAAGCCCAACUAAUACCAUCUUCGCCAAAACUCCAAGCUACAUCUCCCCUUAUUUCUUGUUUUGCUUUAUUAAAUUAAAUUAACCUAGAGGGGUGAAUGGGGGUUUCAGGUGUUUUUGCACAAAAGUCCUUUAUGUUGAUGAUUCGUUGCUGAUGACUGAUUUUUUUCCCUCCCAUAUUCUUUGUUGCCAUAAUUUAUAAUUGGAUACACCUUUAAAUUAUGUUACGUCGUCGAAGGCUUGACCUGGGGAGAAAAUACAUUAAAUCUUUUUUUAUAUAAAAUCCAUUCUCUGUAAUAAUAUAUUAAUAGUCAAUUUUUUGGUCACUAAUUUUUUUAUGUUAUAUUAUAUUUUAUAUUCCCAAUAAUAACAAUUUUCUAUUUUAAUAAAAAUAUAAAUCAAACCACGUAUGAAGAAAUUUAACUGUAUAUGAAGCAAAUUAUUAUUCAACAUAAGAGAAAAUAGGAGACUUUUUGGAUAAUUGAAUCAAUGACAUGAAGCUAAGUAACAUCAAGGGAAUUUUUCCAACUAAUUAAAAUUUUGUAGGACAAAGGGAACAUAAUGAUUAAUGCACUAAUAAUAGCAAAAUAGACAUGUAGUUUUGUUUUAAGGAAGCUCUUAUAUUGUACUGCCGACACUGUAAGAAACAUACAUUUAUUUUUUGAGUUUCAUUUUAUUGUCAUAUAAAUUGAUCGAACAUAAAAUUAUUAUUUUUAAAAAAAAAAUGAUAAAAUUAUGAUUUUAAAUAUAUAUAUCAAUAUUUAUAUUGCUUCAAACUUAUGACAUUAAGGAUAAUUGAGUUAGGCCUGCAUAAAAAACCAAGUUUAUAAUGUCCCAAGUUCGUUUUAAAAAAAAAAGAAAAAUGUCUUUUUUUCCUUUAAAAAGGGGUAUCAAGUAUUAAUAGGGACUUUUUAUUACUUCAUAAAUAGAAUACAUAAUCUUACUCAACUACACAAAUAAUUAAAAAUAAAAUUAAGUAUGUCGCUUACUACCGCGACUUCGUUUUUUUAAGAAAAAAAUUGAAAGAUAAGAAUAUUUUUUUUUGAUGGAAAAAAAUAAUAAAAUCAGCCAAACACUAUUAACGGUGUUAAAAUUGAGAAAGGAUAUCGCUGCCCUAGCAUCGAAUUGUCCGAUUUGGUAUUAAAAAAAUUUCAAUGGCCCUUUAUGCAUUUUGAAAGAAAAAAGUGGUCCUUUUGGCUCCGAACUCAAAUUUUUCGCAUACAUAUAUACUGCAAAUAAGGAAAAUAAAAUAGAAAACUAAAUUGGUAUCAAUCUAUAUAUCAAAAGGUUUUAGAUUCGAGUCUCCUUGAAUACGGAGGGAGAGUUUUACUUUUUGACGCAAAUUUAGAUUUAGUCGGGCUCCAAUGUGGAUACGGAACCAAAAAAAAUAUUUAGUUAAAAAAUAGAUGAAAUCCAUUAAAUAACAAUAGAAAUAUUUGAUAAUUUAAUUCUACAAAUUAAAGUAACUAAAAUAAAUGUAGCACUAGAAUAAUUUCUUAUUCUCAUAUGUAUGCGAGAAUAUGUAUGCGUGUGGAUAUUCAAGAUCAGGUGUAUCAAAGUAAUCCAAUUCUUCAUCAAUCAAGACUUUAAACGGUUCAUCCAAUGAUGGUAGUUGCCAAAUUUUUGCAGCAUACAACCAUCCAUCAUGAUCUCUCGACGAAUUUGAGACACAAUCAGGAACUAUAUUCUAGAUUGUUAUAGGAAUAUCUUAAUGAUUUUUACAUAAACUGACUUUUUUUGUAAUGAAACACACAAUAGAGUCUUCAUGUCUGAUUUCUCUGCGUUCUCUUAAUACAUCCAUUGUAGUUUUAUCAAGACAGUAUUCUUUCACAAUCCAGUAUACACUUUCUUUUAUCUUCACAGCUACUUUCUUCAUCAGAACGAAAAGUUUUCUUAUACCCAAUUCAUGAUCUUUCCUUGUCCAAAAUUUCUUUAUUAUUGUCUCGUCCUUUCCAUUUGUGACCUCCAACAAUUGAUUUGUUGAAGUUUUUACCCUUGAUGAUUUUUCUCUUCAAUUGAGUAAAGAAAUAGUUUAUAUGAUCAUUACCUAAAUUUUGGAAUAAUUCUGCUGGCUCUUUUUUACCGUAUAAGUCUAUAUACGGAAUAUUAUUGUAUUCAAUAGGCAUUCCACGAAUGAAUUCGUUAAACACCUUAUCAGAUCUUCAUCCCCAUAAGUUAUAAAUAAUGUGAAUUAUAUUCCAACUAAAAAGAUACAAAAAGAGAGAAGAAGAUGGAGAAAUAUUUUAAAGCAAGAAAAUAUAUAUAGAGUAUAUUUCCUAAUUUGUGUAGGAAACUAAUUGUAGUUGUAAAUAUAAAUUUGAAAAAGUGAACCUUAUUAAUUGGAGUUGUAAUUUAUUUUGGAAAACUUAACCCUUGUUCGAAUAGGAAACUAAUUGGAGUUAUAAUUUUAUUUUUGGAAAACUCAACCUUAUUCGAAUAGGAAACAUUAAAUUUCUUGACCGAUGAUUGUGGGGUUGUGAAAGAUGACGAUUUGUGGGAAACAGAGAAGCAGCAUCAUCAAUGUAUUGAGCAUGUGUGAGAAAUAGAGCAGGAUCCGAAUGAGCAACAAAACCAGAAUUGAUAACAACAAACAGAGAAACAAAAGUAAAAUUUUGCUUCUUUAUAGGUUGCUAAACAAACACAUAUCAUAUAUUAUAUAUAUAGAGAGAGGAGAUAAAUGGUUGAGGGCUAAGCGCAUCCAAUAACGGUAAUAUAAAUUGACACGCUUAACAGAAUGUUUCCUUAACUAAUAAAUUGACACGGUUACCAUAAUAUUUCGUUAAAUAAUAAAUUGACACGGUUACCAUAUUAUAUUGUAUAUAGGGUAGAUUAUAUGGAAAUUGUGAAUUCCCUGAACAACGUACAAAAGGUUAGUUCGGUGAUUCAAGAUAUUUGAAAUCCACCCUAACGUCCAAGGGUUUGAUUCUACUGGAUUACAUUAUUAUGUUUUAUGUUUUUAUUUUUCAAACACCCUGAGUGAAAAUCUUGAAUCCGUCAUUGUUUUUUGGGUUUAAAAACUCAAUAAUUCUCGUGCAUUCAAAUGAUUAUAGUCCCUAUAUUAAGUACAAUCUUUUGUGUUGUGGUAGAGAUGAGUAUUCAUUUUCUGAGGUUUUAUUUACCCCUUCUUUUUUUGAUUAUUUUUCCACUAUAACAGAUAUUUGCAGUAAUUCUACCAUGCACGAUAUUUCUCAUUUACUAUCACUACAGGAGGGAUGUAUAUGAUUUGCAUCAUGCCAUAUUGGGUGAGUUUUAUUUGAAGUUUAUUUAGGAAAAAACUAUUUUUUCAAUUUUUGGAUUUUCAUUGUAGUUAAUACUAUGAAAUUGAUGGCAUUUUGCUUGUAAAUCUAGGCAUCCUGUAUUCUGUUCUAGUGACUGCAGUAAUCACCGAUAGCAUCAAAGAUGCUGUUGGUCGUCCACUCCCAAAUUUUUUCUAUAGGUGUGUCUCCAUCUUACACUUUCACAUAACAUUAUGGCUUGAACUUAGGAUAUUCUUUCAUGUAGUCCAAAAUAUGAUCCAACUCAAAAGGCCUGUGAUUCAACCUAUAAGUGGAUACUAUGUGAUAGAGGUCUGUGCUAGGCGCAAAAAUUCAACUUUUACUGUUUAUGGCAAUGGGGGUAAUUAGAAAAGACACGGCCUAAGAGUUCGAGAGUUCAUGAGAUUGUAUUGGCUUGCUUUCAUCAUAGUUAUUUUAUUUUCUCUUUGUGUUGUCUCAGAACAUAUAAAAAGUGUUCAUUUUUCUUCUUUUAUACCGUGUGUGUGUUAUUUUGAGUAUGCCAUAACAUAACAUUUAACUCGAAAAGUUUGACAUCAACUCUUAAACAAAUUUUGCAUUAAGAUACCUUUUUCAAUUCAUAUGCAGGCCUUUCAACCUAAUGGGGAUGCUAAUUGUCAUGGAGACCCUAAAGUUGUGAAAGAAGGAUAUAAAAUCUUUCCCAGUGGACAUACCUCAUGUUAGUAGUGUUCAUUUAUUCUUAGUUUCUUUGUUUUUGUUUGUUUUCUUCUUGUUUAUAAGUUUACGCUUGUCAAAAUAUAGGGUCAUUGGCUAGCCUUGCUUUCCUCUCAUGGUACUUGUGUGGAAAAGUGAAGGCUCACUACAAGAAAGAAGACAUUUCCCUACAACUUUUUUUGUUGCCAUAUAUUGGAUAUUGUUGCUAAAAGUACUUUCGGCAACAAUAAAAAAGUUGUUGCAUGUUGUUGCAAUAAACGCUGAUGUUAAAAAAUUUUGCAACAACAAAAUAUAUUGUUGCCAAAAACUAACUUAACGCAACCAAAAAAAUUGUUGCUUUAUACGGCUUAUAAAAAAAUUCGCAACAAAAUCUAAUGUUGCCAUAAAUUAUUAUUUUUUACCAACAAUAUUAGUUGUUGCAAAAACUUGGCAAAACUUAGUUAGCAAUCU
RNAcentral lists this long non-coding RNA (78609 nucleotides) under Solanum tuberosum (potato). RNAcentral's name for it is "long non-coding RNA (STUB_LNC004536)". The record is from RNAcentral. Lineage: Eukaryota; Viridiplantae; Streptophyta; Magnoliopsida; Solanales; Solanaceae.